UCCAACACCACCUCCUGCUCCAAACCCUCCACCUUUACCUGCACCACCCCCAACUCCACCGCCAAAACCGCCACCUCCACCUACUCCACCUCCACCACCAAGACCUCCUCCAGCACCUCCACCAAAACCUCCACCACGUCCACGUCCACCUCCAAAUCCAGGACCUCUUCCUCCUGGUCUUCCAAAUCCACCACGUCCACCACCAAAACAACCUCUCCUUCCAAAUCCACAAUCAUUACCUCCCCACCUCUCUUUUUCUAUCUUGCUAUCUCCAAAAGCAACUACACUCAAUUCUAACACCACACUCAAGAUAAGAAGAAGCACGCAAAACCAUUUUUGAGAAGAACCCAUAAUGCUUACAAGAAUUCAAACUUGCUUUGCUCUACUGGCCUUUAGACAUGGGUAUAUAUAGAGGCUUAAUUCCUUAAAGAUACUACCAAAAGUAGUAAGUUGGCAAUAGGGUUUUCAACUCUCACUACGUAAUUAAUGCAUGCUCUGUUGCAUGGCUUGUACGACGCGUUCGAGUUGUUGGGGAGAUAAGAGAAAUUGAGGCGGGAACAUUAAAUGAAGAUAUAUUCAAAGUCAAAUCCCAUAGGUCGCUUGUGCUUGUUUUCAAUUCCACCGACAAGGAUUUACUAAGGUGGCGUUUGGUUCGCAAAUCGGAAUCGGAAUCGGAUUCGGAAUCGAAUAUCUUGGGUUUGGAAUGAGAUCAUUCAUUUCAAUACAUUUGUUUGGUUCAAAUACCAGAAAUGUAUAUCAUUACUAUAGUUGAUGUUUGGUUCGUCGACUCUUUUAGAAUGGAAUAUAAUAAAUAUAUCAUAAACUAAAUCGUAAAUGAUAGUUAUUGGCUCUUUGUAAAUGGGAUAUAAGAAAUUUUCACUAAUUAAAUAUAUUAGUAUAAAUGUAUUAGUAAAUUUAGUCUAACUGAUUAAUAAUUUCUAUUAGUAAACAUGUAUAAUUAUUAGUAUAAUUGAUAAUAUUAAUUAUAUUACAUAAAUUAAUAUACAUUAUAAAAUACAUAUAACUAAUAAUAUUAUUAUUAUUAUAAGUUUGUAACUAAUUAAAUUAAAUGUUAUAUAUAUAAUUAAAUAUAAAUAUACAAAUGUUAUAAUAUAAAUAUAUAAUUAUAAUUAUAUAAUAUAUACAAAUAUUAAUUAUACAAAUAUUAAUUAUAAAUAUAAUAUAUAUACAUAUUAAAUAUAGUUAUUAUUAUAUAUUAUUAUAUUUAAAAUAAUAAUAAUAAUAAUUAUUAUUAUAUAACUUAUUAAUAUUGCAUACAUGUAUAUAUUAUAAUUAUAUGCACAUAUAAUAUACAUUUAUAAAUAUACAUAUAUAUUAUAAAUAUAUUAUUAUAUAAUAUUAAUAAAUUUAUAAUAUGUAUAUUAUAUAAAUAUAAUUGUAUUUAACUAAAUAAUUAUAAUAUAUAAUUAUAUAAUAUAAUAAUAUCAUUAUUAUAAGUUUGUAACUAAUUAAAUUAAAUAUUAUAUAUAAUUAAUUAUAAUUAUACAAAUGUUAUAAUAUAAAUAUAUAAUUAUAAUUAUAUAAUAUAUAAAUAUUAAUUGUACUAAUAUUUUAAAUAAAUAUAAUGCAUAUUAAUUAGAUAUAGUUAUUAUUAUAUAUUAUUAUAUUUAAAAUAAUAAAUAUAAAUAUAAUUAUAUAAUUUAUUAAUAUUAUAUACAUGUAUUUAUUAUAAUUAUAUGCACAUAUAAUAUACAUUUAUAAAUAAACAUAUAUAUUAUAAAUAUAUUAUGGUAUAAUAUUAAUAAAUUUAUAAUAUAUAUUAUAUAAAUAUAAUUAUAUUUAACUAAAUAAUUAUAAUAUAUAUUUAUAUAAUAUACUAAUAUUAUAAUAAAAUAUAUAAUUAUAAUAAAAUUUUAUAAUUAUAAUAUAUUAUAAUAUAUUUAUAUGUUAUAAUAUAAAUAUAUAAUAUAUAAUAUAUAUAAAUAUUAAUUAUACUAAAUAUUAUGUAAUUAUAAGAUUUUGGAAUCACACUUGGGUUUUGGACAAAACCCACCAUUUUACUAAGGAAUGAAGGGAUGCCAAAUUUUUAGAAAUCAUUCCAAAAUUUCAAUUCUCAUACCAGUGAACCAAACACCAAUUAUGUAGUUUAUUCCAUUACUUCAUUCUGAUACCCUUUUAUCAAAUGCCCCCUAAGUUAUUGUACUCCAAAUUGACACGCUAUGAUUAAUGCAUAUGGAAACUAUGGUCACAAUCGGCCAUAAAUUUCUUCUUAUAUCCACGUUCUUGAAGUAAAUGGCCUUCCCCUUCAAACCUUUCUAUUUUUUUUUGCAAGUGUAUUAUUAUUAUUAGUUUGUAUCAGUGGUGGAGCCAGAAAAAGUUUGGGCAAAAGUAACACUAAAAUUUUUUUCCUACUCUUUUGUUAGUUUUUUAAGUAAAAAUAUUCACCAAUAAGUUAAAAUGAAAAAAAAAUUUUGAACUUAUUUCAAAUGAAAUUUUGUGAUCCACAUAUUCUUUUAGAAUAUUAGUUCAUGAACCAAUUUAAAAGAUCAUGUAAUUCUUUCAUUUAUUUCAUAAAAAAACUUUAGAGGCACAUUUAAGAUAAUAUCAAAAUUUUAUGCAUAUUGUAGGAAUUUAAGGAGGAGCAGUGGGGGCCCGUGCCCCCACCUUAAAUCCGCCAGUGGUUUGUAUCCUAUUAAGUGAAACUGGGUAUAUCUCGGAUGAUGGGCUUAAUAAUUGUGAGAGCAAUUGCUGAGGGCAAUUAAUGAUAAAAAUUCCAGUAUUUUGAUAUUGAAUGGUAAAAUUGGAAUUUGAAGAAAAUUUGAUUAUGUAGUAGUUCAAUAAAUGGAUAACUUAAAAUACAUUUACUAGAGGAAAGGGUACACAGGAAAAGAAAAAUAAUAAUAAUCUAUGGUAGUCAUUUGAAGUUAUGUUAAGUUCAUCAAUAGAGCGUGUUUUGUUGGAAAGUAUUGGUUAUUUGCUGCUAUUAGUAAGUUUUAUUAGGCUUCAAGUGUAAGCGCGCGUGUUUCUGUGUGUGUGUGUGUGUGUUUUUUUUUCUUUUUGGAGAGGUUAGUAUCUUUUUACCCUUGUUUUGAGGGUCAAAGAGGAAUACUUAAAGUUGCAAAAAAUGUUCAAACCUCUAAAAACUAUGUGUAGAAAUAGAUUUUCUAAAAACUAUGUGUAGAGAUAGAUUUUCUAAAAACUAUGUGCAGAGAUAGAUUUUUUUUUUUACAAUUUUAAUAUCUGCAUUUAUUAUUUUAAUAUUACUAUUUUAUAAUCUCUAUUGCCUUGUGCAAUUUACAUUUGGCACUAACAAUUGUUGAGGUCAAAUAUUAAAACAAGAGUAAAUUUUAUAUACACUGACAGUGUAUACACUAUCACCAUUAGAUUCCAUGAUAUGCGUCCAAAAAGUUGAAUUUCAAAUUUAAAUUUGCAUAAUUGUCAUUCAUCUAACGCUGACAGUAUAUACACUGUCAGUGUAGGAAAGAUUAAUCCUUAAAACAAUACCAGGCCAAUUAUUAGGAUGGAAGGACUACCGUCAAUAAAAAAAAAUGUAGCCAUUAUACUGUCAAUAAAAAAAAAUUUAGCCAUUGUCAAAUACUGUUGAAUAAUCGGACUUUAACUCAUUGGUCAAGUUUAAAUUUCUUUGACAUAAAUAUCCAUUAAUGUACGUUUGACAAGAUCAAAUUUCAAUGUCAACGACCACGGAAAAUCUCCAUACUGGCGAUCUGAUCGGCGUUAUGGGAAAAAAAGCGGCGGAUCAACUGUUCACAUGGUUGUAUACAGUCAGGGUGGUCAACCGUUGACGCCUUAUCCUGGUGCAUUUGCGCUUUUUAAUUGAAAAUAAUACUAACAAAUAAUGCUAAUUAGUUUAUACCAAUUUAGGAAUAACUAAGAUGCAUUAUUACCUUUUCACAAAAGAAAAAGAAAAAGCCUAAGACGCAUCACCCAGUUAGUUUUUAUAUGAGUGCAUCUGUAUUUACUUUGAAGUAUAUGGUUUUUGAAAGUAUUCUUUUUCAAGCUCAAGACUCAUGGUUUUUUUUUUUUGCAUGAGAAAAGAGAAAUAAAGGUUUGGUAUUACUCGGGCAAGUCAGUUUGAUUUCCUUGACUGUGAGAUUACGUCUCCUUUUUUGACUUAAUUUUUCCUACCAUUAUCUUCCAACCAUGUUCUGAAAUAGUCUGUUUUAUGUUCCAAUGUCCGCCGUUGGUAUCUAUAUUUAGCCAUGAAGGUAGAACCCAUAAGAACUUCACUGAUGAAGGUAAAUAUUAGGACGAUUCUGGUAGCUUAAAUGCCUUUAGGGUGCAACAAGAUUUGAGGGGAAAGAUAAUUGGAUUUAAGCUAUGACAAGAAUUGUGAGAUUGUUUGUAGUAUUGCUACGGCAAAAAUGGCCCCUGGAUUUGGAUUAAAAUGAUGUAGAAUAACUAUCGACAUAAUUAGACCAAAUUUCUGAAAGUUAAUAUUUUCUAUUCUGAUUUUGAAGUUUUUAUUCUAAUCUAAUUUCUGGUAAUUUAACUAUUUAGGAAAUUAAGCGGUUAUUUGGUAGUUUAUUUCCUGCUUGUUUCUUGUUUUCAAAUUUUUGUUAUUGUAUUUAGUUGCAAAGAGUGUGAGGCAAAAGAGAGACUAGUGAAUGCUACACGAGGUCCUCGGUUCGACUCUCGUUGUGAGCGCCAAGUUCAACAGUUCGGGCCAGGCCUUACUCCUGAGCAAGAGUCAGACUCUGCGGGCGCAAUCCGGGCCGAAUUCGGAUUAGUUGGAGCAGUGGCUCCGGAUACCGGGUGGUUUGACCAAAAAAAAAAAAAAAGAGUCUAGGGAAAGUUUGCGUAUUGUAAAGGCAAUUUUGUUUAGAUUAUAAAAGUUAGAUCAAUACGUACUUUUAUGUACUAAACCUAUUCUACCUUUUCUUCUUUUGUAAAACGAAGGCCACUGUCUAGAAGGAAAUUUAGCACUUGGACAGAAGCUCCCAGAUUCUCAUCAAAACCGAAGGAAACAGCAGACGGCAGAGACAAAAUCAGAAUGAAAUCAGUUAACCAAAAGAUUGGAAUCAAUUAAUAAGCCUGUUUUGGUAUAAUUUUGAAGAGCCAAACGAGGUCCAAAUGUUUCAGUAAAUUCGUAUCAUUUUGGUUCUUCAGCAAAAUUUACACAUAAUAAAAAGUUUCCUUUUGGAAGUAAAAUAUGCUAGAUACCAAAUUUACACAAUAUUUGUCAAAUUAGAUUCACGGAAAUCAGUGAGCUGAGCAUCGGGUUUCAUAGGUCUCGUCACACGAGUGCAUAAAAUGACGGAUGAUCUUGCACAAAAAGGGAACAAGGAAAUCUGGAAGUGUUUAAUUAAUAGGGCAUGAAAAUCGUGCAUUAGUUAUUUAUUUAAUAGGACAUACGUACUUUUUUUCCCCAAGAUUUCCAUAUUAUUUAUGAAAAUUAACGAGCUCCGCCCCACCAUUUAUAGGCCAGGGAGGUAAUAUUUAGACAUGGGAUUCAAGAAAACAAAGUACAACAGUUGAACUAGUCUUGCAUGGACAUAAUUAAAGUCCACCACCACCACCUCCUCCGAAUCCUCCACCGCCUCCAACGCCUCCACCUGCUCCAACUCCACCACCAAAUCCACCACCUUGUCCAAAACCUCCUCCGAGGCCUCCUCCUCCACCUCCACCUCCACCUCCACCACCACCACAUCCAACGCCACCACCUGCUCCAAAACCUUCUCCUCCACCAACUCCGCCACUUGCACCUGCGCCGACACCGCCUCCAGCUCCAAACCCACUGCCACCACCAACUCCUCCGACUCCAAAUAACCCUCGUCCUUCCCUUCCCCUACCACUACAACCCCUCCUACCAAUUCCACAACCAUCUUCCUUCAAUUCUUUGUUAAGCUUGCCAUCACCAAGAGUUGUUACACUCAACUCUAACACAAUGCUCAAGAGAAGAAGAAACACAAAGACACAUUUUUUCGAAGAAGAACCCAUAUUGCUAACAAGGUUCACACUUCGCAGUUCAAUUUGGUGUGCUCUAUUGCACCCCAAGAUUUGGCAUUUAUAUAGGCUUCAUGUGACAGCCCCACCUCCCCCUAAGGCAAACCAAAGGGUUCGGCGGACCGCCUGCCCAGCUCUCGUCGGGACUUACUCACUCACUACAUUCCUCAAUAAAAUAUAAGGCACAACUCAAAUAAUACAUCAAAUUCUCCAAAAAUUACAUAUCAUAAGCGAAGCGAAAACUAAUUCUAAACGUGGAACGUAUAUAUACAACCAAUUCAAUUCCAAAUAUUUAUACAGGCCCACAAUUACACAAGGUGAAUCAUCACAUCCAAUAACCUAUGGUACAAUCUCAAUAAUAAACAAAAUAAUAUUUUUCCCCAAGUUCCACGAAUAUAUAAACCACAAGUGAAUCAAAAGCGAAAUAUACAUGAAAUAAUCUUCCAGAUACGUUAACUUAUUACACGUGCUUCCUUUGCCUCGAUCCCUAUGGAGAGAAGAAAACAUUUGGAGGUGAGCUAGAAACUCAGCGAGUGUCCAGUAAAAUCAAUAAUUAAGUAUAUUUCACAAUAAAGCAUUUAGAUGAUGUCAUGAUGCAGUAAUCAAAUGUACAUUUAUUGCUCGUGUGAGCCGGUGAAGUUCUUGUACUUAAAUAUCCAACGCUCAUUUAGAUCAGGUAACAGAUAAACAGAAAUAAGGAGCCAUCGUGCUCCAAAGAAUGUGUAAACCGUAGUGGAGACGUUGGUUCUAAACACAAGAUUUUUUCAAAAACUCAUUGGAGCCAAAUUAUGUCAUAGCACACACACAUACACAAAUGAUAUGCAAUCAAACAACCAAUGCAAGCAAUUGAGGAACCAGUGCAAGAAUUAGCAAGAAUUAGUUCAAAAGUAACUUUGGAAGUAGUUGAGGGAUCACUCACCAACCACGGCUCAGGAACCAUCCAUCAUAUAUCGUUGCCUUGCUCAAGUCCAAACCCUUCAACUCAAACUCAAAGCAAUCAAAUGCUUUCAAAGAUCGGACAGCAUAUACCCUUAAUUUCCUUACUUUUCCAUCCUACAAGCAACACCAAUUCAUCUCAAAUCAACCACAUACACAUCAUAGACUAUCAAAUACACCUUUCGACACAAUAUCCAUAACUGAAGCUAUACUUAUCGGAUUGAAACGAAUCUUAUGGCGUUUCGAAACCAAGACAUAACCCUACAUUUCUUAUGAAGACCUCCAAAGCCAAAUCAUGCAUUUUCAGAGUCAAAAAAAUGGAAAACUCCACGAAAACAGAAAUCUGGGCGCGAAACAGGGCUCAUGGGCAGUCAAGGGUAUUUCUGUCAUUUCAUAUGCUACAGUGCUCCGAUUGAGUUGAAAUUUUACAGAUAGCUAGCUAACUCAAUUACCAACAACUUUCAUGUUUUGGGCAAAGGCUGAUUCUGCCUCAAUCAUGGCCUAACAGGUUCGGACAGAACAGGGUAGGAUGAAACCCUAAACUGAAAAUUCCGCAUAAACUCUGAAAUUUUCUGCAACUAAUCAUAUCCAACAUAUACCAAUCUCCAUUUUACACUAUAACAGGCCAUCAAUCCAUGACUAAACAAUAAUUAUGAUAUAAAAACAGAAAAAUCACUAAUCAAUCAAAAAUUCAUCAAAACUCCACUUUCAACCAUAAAAUCUACCACAAAUCAACAUAUUUAGCCACUAAGCCACUAAUUUGACAUUAGCAAGAACAAAGAGAAAGUUUGUAAACAAAGUACCUAAACACCUCAAGAAAGAUGAUAACUUAGGAUUUUCCUUUCACAAAUCCCUCCACUAGAAGCUUUAAUCCUCCUUAAUAAACAACUUUGAUGGAGUAAUUUGAUAAUUCAACGGUUGAAACUCAAGAUUUGAGCAAGAAUUGAAGUUGAAGUUGAAGAAACUCUCUCUUGUUCUUUCCUCUCCAUAAAUUUCGGCCAGGACAAUGAAAAUGGAAAGAAAUUGGGUCAAAAUUUGGUUUAGUAAAGGUUAAGACAAGUCCAAGUCAAAGUCAAGGUCCAAUGUUUCAAGGACAAAUGGCAUCCAAGGGUUAAUCCUCAUUUUGUUGUCUUCCAAUGGUUAAUCCCUCCAAGUAACCUCUAAUUAUUUCCUAACACCUUGUAAAAUAAUAUUACUUAAUACAAAACUCCAACAAGUUGUCAAAAAUAUAUCGCAUUUACCGCACUAGCGGGUCCCACGUCCAUAAUACACUUCAAACUUAACGUGGACUAACUUGUAUCAAGGAAAUGAUUUGAAAACUAUAUUCCCUUAUAAAAAUGUAUAGGAAAUUAAUAUAUUGAAAAAAGGUAUAAAAUUAUAGACAAGAAAACAAAAUAAUGUCUAGAAAAUAUAUAAAAUUUUUUAGUUUUCACACUCAUUCUUUCGGGGCGUCACACUUCACCUUACUAGCGAAAGUGCCAAGAUUGUCAAAUCACCGUUAAUGUAAGCAUUAGAAAUUCUUACUCAACGCGUCACAGCCAUUGGGGAGAUAUGGCGGGAGCCAUUAAUUAAUGAAGUGACUAUCAAAGUCAAUCUCUGAUGCAUCUUUGGAGCAUAUUUUCAAACCUGUUGACAAAAAAAAAAAAUAUUACUGAGUCGCUGUUUCUCAUGCAUUCAAGUUUAAGAAUGCAACUUCUUGUUUUUUACAGACAUAAUUUGCAUAUUACCUUUCAAAUUGCGCAAGUUAAUUUCAACCCACUUGGCACAAAUAUUUAGAGCUUUGCUUGCAUAGCAACCAAAUUUGUUAGUGUUGAGAUGCCUUGAAUUAGAUCUUCGACCUUCGCUGAGCUUACGGUAAAUAUUAGUUACCGUAUCUGUUUUAUUUUGGGUCUUGUUUUGGGCCUAUUUUUGGUCCAGUCCGUUUGGUUGUAUAUAUAUACACCUUAUUUUAGUCUGUAAACUAUUCCGAUUACAACCCUAAUAAAAUCUGAUUUCCUCCAAGUUGUUCUUGUCUGUUCUUGUUUAUUUUUCUGUUCCGCUGCAUCUGUUAUAACAAACUGGUAUCAGAGCUCUAGGUUCGUCCUAGGGCUCGGAUCACGCAAUAACGAGUCUGCUUUGAACAUCAAGAUCGACAAGUUCACCAGAGAAAUAGUUUUAGUCUGUGGCAGAUCAAGAUGCGGGCUCUGUUAAAGCAACAGGGUCUGUGGAGUCCGCUGACGAAGAAGAAAUCGGAUUCCGUUGAUGAAGAGUCGAUGAGUCUAGAGGAAAAGGCUCACUCGACAAUCAUGCUGUGCCUGGCAGAUGAUGUCAUCACUAAGGUCGCCGGUGAAGAAAUUGCUGUGGGUUAAACUUGAGAGUCUCUAUAUGACGAAGUUUUUAGCCAACAAGUUGCUCCUAAAGCAACGUCUGUUCAGUCUGCGUAUGCAGGAAGGUACUCCUCUUCGAGAACAUUUAAAUCAAUUAAAUACGAUUCUUCUUGAGUUGCAUAAUAUUGAUGUUAAAAUUGAGGAUGAGGAUACCGCGUUGAUUCUGUUAGUGUCUCUACCGUUAUCGUAUGAGAAUUUUGUUCAGUCUUUCAUUGGCGGUAAAGAUACAGUGACUUUAGAAGAAAUAAGAUCAGCACUGCAUAGUAGAGAGUUGCGCCAUAAGGCGGCUGAUAAGGUUACAGAUAAUCAGGCUGCUGGGCUAGUUGUCAGCAGUGGUAAAGGAAAAUUUUGGAAAAAGAAAUCCGAAAACAAGAAGCAGUUCUCUAAAGGUCCCAAGCCGGAUGAUGUCUGUAACUACUGCAAGAAAAAGGGUCAUUGGAAAUCUAAUUGUCCUAAGAAGAAGAAGCAGCAGGAAAAACAACACGCUUCAGCUUCAGUUGCUGAAAAGGAAGCGAAAAAUUCAGAAGAAGACCUGGCACUAAUUGCAAACGAACCAACACAUCACUCUGAUGUGUGGGUUCUUGAUUUUGGGGCGUCCUAUCACAUAUGUCCAAACAAGGAAUGGUUUACAACAUAUGAACAGAUAGAUGGCGAAAAUAUCGUGAUGGCUAAUAGCGCUGUUUGCAAGGCUGUUGGAAUCGGUUCGAUUAAGAUCAGGACACAUGCUGGGAGAAUUGUCACACUGAACGAAGUCAGGCACGUUCCCAAAAUGACGAAGAAUCUGAUAUCACUUAGUACUCUUGACAGUAAAGGUUUCAGGUUCAGCGGAGGAAGUGGAAAGUUGUGCAUCAGUAAAGGUUCAUUAGUGGUUCUCAAAGGAGUUAAGCAUGGCACCCUGUACAUCUUACAGGGUUCUACGCUAACAGGUUCUGCCGCUGCUGCUGUUGCAUCUUCUGAAGAUCGUAGGUCUGAUAUGACCAAGAUGUGACACAUUAGGCUUGGUCAUAUGAGCGAAAGGGGGAUGCAGGUUCUGUCUAAACGUGAUCUUCUAGAAGGCCACAAGGUCACUGAUCUUGGAUUCUGUGAACAUUGUACUUUCGGUAAACUACAUCGCAGAAAGUUUGGGAAGGCAAUUCACAAGACAAAAGGCACACUUGAUUACAUCCAUUCUGACUGUUGGGGUCCUUCACUAGUUGAGUCUUUGGGAGGUUGUCGGUAUUUUUUAUCCAUGAUUGAUGAUUAUUCAAGGAUGACUUGGAUAAUCGUUAUGAAGGAAAAAGGUGAAGCUUUCAAGAACUUCAAGCAGUGGAAGGCCUUAGUGGAGAAUCAAACUGGAAAGAAGAUCAAAAGGCUGCGAACUGAUAAUGGUCUGGAAUUUUGUUCAAAGGAGUUUGAUGAGUUCUGCAAAGAUGAAGAAAUUGCUCGGCAUCACACAGUUCGACACACACCACAACAAAACGGUGUAGCAGAACGCAUGAAUCAGACAUUUCUAGAGAGAGCACGGUGUAUGCUCUUCAAUGCUGGGUUGCCAAGGAGGUUCUGGGCAGAAGCAGUGAGCACAACCUACUUCUUGAUCAAUCGUGCACCUCAUACAGGUAUAGACUGCAAGAUACCUUAUGAAGUGUGGUCUGAUAUGUCCCCUUCCUACUCAAGUUUGAAAGCUUUUGGUUGUACUGCGUAUUAUUAUGUCAGUGAGGGCAAACUAGAACCAAGAGCUAAAAAGGGAGUGUUUCUGGGAUACGGAGAUGGGGUUAAAGGGUAUAGAAUCUGGUCACCCUCAGAAAAGAAAGUUAUACUUAGCAGAAGUGUAAUUUUUUAUGAAAACUCCAUACUUAACCCCCUUGUAAAGACUGUUGUUGAAGAAAGUGUAGGUGUUGAUAAGCAGGUGGAGUUACAAAUCAUUCAAAAUGGUUUUGAAUCACAACAGCAAUUUGAUGAUCAUCAACAGCUAUCCUUUGAAACUGAACCUCUUGCAGAAGUAGAGUCCCCAGAACCUACAUCAGCAGAAAGGUCGGCACCUAUAUCCCAUACUGCGUUAGAAACUCAACAGCACGGUAUUGCUUAUGAUCGUGCGAGGAGAGUGGGAGUACGACCUCCCAGCAGAUAUCGGGAUUUUGUAAGUUAUGCAUUUCAGGUUGCUGAGGAGGUGGAUUCUCCUGAGCCCUCUACCUAUAGAGAAGCUAUUUCAGGCAGUGAGUCAGCUCAAUGGCUUACUGCAAUGGGUGAUGAAAUGGAGUCAUUACACAAGAAUGACACUUGGAAAUUAGUUAAACGGCCAGUAGAGAGAAAGGUUGUGACUUGCAAAUGGGUCUUUAAAAGGAAGGAAGGAAUUCUCCAGUUGAGAGCAUCAAGUAUAAAACACGUGUUGUUGCAAGAGGGUUCACUCAAAGAGAAGGAGUAGACUACAAUGAGAUUUUCUCACCAGUGGUCAGACACAUUUCAAUCAGGGUGCUACUAGCAAUGGUUGCACAUCAGGACUUAGAACUUGAGCAGCUAGACGUGAAGACAGCUUUCCUACAUGGAGAGUUAGAUGAAGAGAUUUAUAUGACUCAGCCAGAUAGAUUCCAUGUUCCAGGAAAAGAAGAUUAUGUAUGCAAGUUGAAGAAAUCCUUGUAUGGAUUAAAACAUUCCCCAAGAUAGUGGUACAAAAGAUUUGACGGCUACAUGAUUGAGCUCGGCUACAACAGAAGUCAGUAUGAUUGUUGUGUAUAUCACAACAAGCUUGAAGAUGGUUCGAUGAUCUACUUGAUUCUGUAUGUAGAUGAUAUGCUCAUAGCUGCGAGGAACAAAGCUGAUAUACAAAAGUUGAAAAAUCUUCUCAGUGCAGAGUUUGAGAUGAAAGACUUGGGUGUAGCACAGAAAAUUUUGGGAAUGGAGAUUUUCAGGGAUAGAAGUCACAAGAAGCUUUUCUUAUCACAGAAGAGAUAUAUUGAGAAGGUACUAUCCAAAUUUGGCAUGUCUACAGCAAAGCCCUUGAAUACUCCGAGUGCAGCGAAUACUCAACUAUCAGUUACACUCGCACCACAGUCAGAAGCCGAGAUAGAGUAUAUGGUUAAGGUUCCUUAUUCUAGUGCAGUGGGCAGUUUGAUGUAUGCCAUGGUCUGCACUAGACCUGAUCUGGCACAUGCAGUCAGUGUUAUUAACAAAUUUAUGGCUAAUCCUGGGAAAGAGCACUGGCUGGCCGUGAAGCGAAUUUUUCGGUACUUGAGAGGUACAUCUGAUGUUGGUCUCAUCUAUGGAGGUGAUACAGAGUGUUUGGUUACAGGCUAUUCAGAUUCUGAUUAUGCUGGAGAUGUUGAUGAUAGGAGGUCGAUGACUGGUUAUGUUUUCACUUUUGGACAUUCUGUAGUUAGUUGAAAAGCAACUCUACAACCUACAGUGACUCUGUCUACUACUGAAACAGAGUAUAUGGCACUAACAGAGGCUGCUAAAGAGGGAAUUUGGUUAAAAGGACUAGUUGGAGAUCUUGGCCUACAUCAGGAUCAGACUAAUAUAUAUUGUGAUAGUUUCAGUGCAAUAUGUCUAGCCAAGGAUCAAGUCCAUCAUGAGAGGACUAAACACAUUGAUGUCCGAUAUCAUUUUCUAAGAUCUGAGACAAGGAUCAAGGUGAAGAAAAUUGGCACGGCUGACAAUCCUGCUGAUAUGUUCACCAAGUCGGUUCCUCAUAGUAAGUUCAAACAUUGUUUGGACUUGCUAAAUGUCCUGAGUUUCUGAUAGCCCUUAUGGGCAUCCUGAUGGUACUUAGAGAUAAUUCUCUGAGUACAUCUGGCACUUCAUUAGUGCGUCUGUUACAUCUUUUUCGGGGAAGAUUCAAGUCAAGGUGAAGAUUUGUUGAGAUGCCUUGAAUUAGAUCUUCGACCUUCGUUGAGCUGAUCGGGGGUCUCGCUGCUCGGUCAGCGAGUCGGGGGUCCAAGGGGCGACGCGCCUCGGCUAGGGGGCCCGGGGGGCAGCGUUGCCCCCAGUGGGGGUUUGGGGGCAACACCCCCGAAGCUUACGGUAUAUAUUAGUUACCGUAUCUGUUUUAUUUCGGGUCUUGUUUUGGAUCUAUUUUUGGGUCCAGUCCAUUUGGUUGUAUAUAUAUACACCUUAUUUUAGUCUGUAAACUAUUUCGAUUACAACCCUAAUAAAAUCUGAUUUCUCCCAAGUGGUUCUUGUCUGUUCUUGUUUGUUCUUCUGUUCCGUUGCAUCUGCUAUAACAGUUAGCCACCUGCAUAUUUGCUUGAGAUGGACUCAUGAUAAGCCAUGACAUCAAGUAUUUUUACCAUGCUACAACGUGCAAGUAGUAAUAUUUUUUUUCCCUUUUCUUGCUCUUGUCCUUGGCGCUGAGAUCAUUGAGAAGGUAGCAGUCUUUGCAUAGAGUCAUACAUUGCUGAUUACAACUCCAUUGUUGAACAACGAUGCAUUACGUGUCUUGUGACGACUAGGGAUGGCCAAAAUGGCCCGUAUUUCUGGUUGAGAUUUUCUGACACGAUUUCACUAUUUUGUUCAAUUUUGGCAACAUCUCCAAUUAUAUAUCCAAACUUGUCUUGCAAAAUAAUAGAAAGAAUGGCCAUGACACACAACAUUCUUGUUGGUUAAGACACUUUUUUUUUUUUUGCUUUUUGGGGGAUUUUGACAUAUGAUAAUCUAGAGCUAUCACUUUGGCAUCAUUUUUUUUUUCAAACGUACUUUUUAAUUGGAUUACAAACUUUGCAGGGGUUGUGCUAAUAAUUUUUUUCUUUACAAAGUGAAUUUUCUAUAACUCUCGGAGUUGUAAUUUCACGUAAAAUUGUCCCUUAGACAACAAUUAUAGUUGUGGAAACCAACUUACGCAAUUUUAAGUUGUAAAAGAUGUUACUCUAGACGGCUAAAAUGGCUCAAGUAGUCAAAGAGAUUAAAGACAACUACUAGUUGAGAACGAAGUUCUGAACUUGUGAUUCGGGGAGGUUUUUGGUUUAUAAAGUCAAUUGAAAGUGAUUGAAGGAAAUGGCAUUAACAUUAUUACAUAGAAAAGCAUGGAUUCGUCAAAAUUGUGUGUGUGUGAAGAUUUACGUGUAUUGAGAGAUGUUGUAAACUAUUAUCCUGUUAUCCAUGAUUAUUAUAUAAGUAGAAUUUCUUCGUAACAUUUAUUAAAGAUAUAUCUUACAACUAGUUUAGUUUACAUUAACUCAGUCUUAAAGGCGAAGAAAAAUGUCUUUCUUUCCCAUUGGAUAAUAAGCUCAUUGAAGUCAACUAACCAGUAUUUGUUUGACCUUAAUUUUGGGCAUGGUGACUAUAUAUAGUCUAUAGAACCAGUGAUCAAUUGGCAGUCUUUAUUUGACAUUUUGGAUAUAGAAUCAUUUGUCAAUUACUUUUGAAAAAGUAAUCAUCCAGCAUCAUCAACUUGAAGCAUGGCUGCGAAAUCUCCUACAUCUCUUAUUUUGACAAUAGUCGGCAGAAAAUUCCAAUAAGAUAUUGAAAAAUGAAAAAAAAAAACCUCAAGUGUUUCCUUUAGUUCAUAGUUUUGCAGUAACUCGUUCAUUAAAGUUGGUAAUCUAUUUGGACUACAGUUGCAUCUGCAAUUUUCGAAUCUUAUGAGAUCAUGAGACUGUUUACUUUUCAAUAUUUGAGCUAAGAGAUGGCAGAGUAAGCAAUCUAAUUCAUUGCCUACUCUAAGUUUCGUAUCGUACCUAGUGCAUCUAAUUAUCAUCUGCUAACUAUUACAACAGCCAUACACUGGUGACGGUAAGACUGAAACUUCCAACAUGCAACAUAAAAACACUUGAAUAAUGAGAAAUGUUAUAAAGAUCUACCUCUUUUGUAAAUGCAGCUUAUGAUUGGAUUAAUCUUCUUACAAGUAACACAUUGUGAAAAUUUAAGUGACAGCACACAGACUUCGCUUGGAAUUCUUAUGCUUCUCUAAGAAAAUCAUAAUAUUUCAACAUUUUCAUCUCCAAACAAAGUAAACAUAUUAAAUCUUGGCUUUGAGUAUUUUGAAAAUGUACAAGUUUAAACUCAAGUCUUCUACUUGAUACUGUUGCUGAUGGAAUUGAUUCAUGACAGUUGGCAGAGUUGCAGAAAACUGGAGAUGCAAACUGGGCUUGGUCACGUUCCAUUGGGACUCCCACAAGUUUAUGCCUAGCUAACUAUUGGACAACUUUGGCUUCAUAAGAUAAAAAUGCCUUAUCCAUUUUUAGAUUAGUAUAGACGGGUCUGGAUCAAGUCCGAGUAAAUAGAAUUAUAACUAUAUCUGUAUCCAAAAAUAUUGAGCGAGUUCAAGUUGGUUCGUGAUCAAAACCUGGUCCGUUGACAGUGCCUAAAGGUAACUAAGGGGAGUGCCAGUUGGGAUCAAGGAGAGGGGAGAAGAAAUGAGUGGCAAGGUAUAGCAAACAGGGUGGCCAGUUAGGGUGCGGAGGGGAGGAGUUGCUGCUAGCUUGAUGUUGGUGGAAGAAAGGGAAACGUGAUUUGAACUCUAGGCAGGGUCAAGGAGGGGAAAGGAAAGAAAGUGGCGGCAGGCAAUGGUUGGUCGGAAUGGCGAGGAAGAGGAAGGGUGUCAAUGCUUAACAACUACUCAAAAAACUGAAAAAACACUCCAAAAAUAUAUAUAUAAAGCUAUUUUUAGCUAAUAAAGCCUAUGGUAAAAUAUUUUAGAAACACUUAAUCCAAGCACAGCCUGAAAUUUUACAAUUCUCUACUGCACCCCUUAAUUUUCUCGAGUUUUGUUCAUUUUCUACAUUGCGCCUUAGAGAACUAAAUCCCUUUUUCCUUUUAACUAAAUCUUUUACCUUUAUUCUGUUAAAAAUUUAUAACGUCACUACAUCAAUAAGUAAAAUCUGAAUAAACUUUAACUUUAGUGAACUAAAAAUUGUUAGACCCGAUCAAGUAGCGAUGUUGAUUAGAGAAAAAGUGCUUUAGCUCGUUUAAACAAUUCGGCUAGUCAAAAUUUUAUUUUUACACUCUGCCAUUACCUAGUUAUACCCAUUAAGUGUUUGAAACUUCAACCAUUUGGACGUAUUUGACAUGGACAAGUAUUGUUGCAUGGAUCAAGGAACGGGUGACUACAGGACAAUAGAGUAUAAAUACUAAUAUAAUAAAUGUAAACAGUAAUAUGGUAAAUGUAGACACUAAUAUAUUAAGAUUAAAAAUUACAACAAAUUUUUAGACUCAAAUUUUAAUGAGAGAGAAAAUCUAUUGUGCUUUUACCUAUUUUUGUAUUAAUAUUUACAUCUAUUAUUUAAUAUCUACAUUUAUUUUUAGAGUAACUUUUAUAUACAUUGUUAAGGCAUGCACUAUUACGGUUGGAUGGAUGACACAGGAACAAAUUUUACACAUAUAUCGUAUAUUUAAUGGUGAUAGUGUAUAUACUCACAGUGUGUAUAAAAUUAAUCCUUAUUUUUAUGGUGUCUACAUUGCACUCUUCUGCCAUUACUAAUUUUUAUUGCGUCUACAUUCAUUUUUGUACUGCAUAUGACAAUAUACACCCCUAAUCCUUAUUGCAUGAUACAAUAAUUAAUGGUUUCUAUCAUCAUGGUUUACUAAGAGCACAAAAUAACUACACUAAUUAAAUAAAAGUUGGGGGAUUCACUAUGAAAAAUUCACAAUUUCCGUUUACUUCCCACAAGUAAAUAAAAUUUACUCUUUUGUAACGACGGUGACAUCGAACCACUUCUUAUGACAAAGAUCCUCUGUCACAGGGGAACAUAAUAUAGCAACCUAUGGACUAUUCUUAAGAUGAAAACGACUGGCAUGUAGUAAUAUAGUCCAAAGAUUACUAUUAGUUGAAACUUUUCAAGGUAAUUAACUAUUCCACAGUCUUUGACGAUCGACUUAAGAACUAAAUAUCUAUUUUGACACCCAUGGAGAAAAAGAAACUUCUGUGCCGAUCGUCUAGCUAAAAUGAGUCUCAACGUGCCAAACAGGUGUUCCAAAGUUCAGGGGAACCACUAGCAUCUCUUAAAGGAUCAAUUUUUUUUAGGGAUAAUUUCAGAAACCUCCCCUGAGGUUUCUGACAUUUGCACUAACCUCCCCUGUGGUUUGAACAAUUACACUGACCUCCCUUGAGGUUACUAAUCCUUUAUAAAUUUAGUCCAAAUGAUUAAAAUAUUGUUUUAGAGAGUGAAAUUAGAAUUUUGUACCUGAUUUGUCCUUUGUGCUACAUGUCCAAUGAAUGACAAAGUAUUACAAAUUAAUUAAUAAUUAAUAAACUUUAAGGAGCGUAAUUUAUAGGCAAAUACAUAUUACUUAUUUAAAGUACCAACUCUUUACGAGUAUUUUACUUUCAAACAUUUACUUUAUUACAAAUAUUUAUUCUCAAAUACAGAUUUGUAUUUACUCUCAAAUAUUUAAUUUUUGUUAAAUACAAAACCUACCAGUUUUUCUUCCAUAGAAAUAUUAAUAUAACACUUUUUCAAUUUUAGUUAUAAAUAUUUAUGUAUUUAACAUAAAUUAAAUAAUUCAGGAUAAAAUACUCAUAAAGAGCUAAUACUUUACUCAUGUAAUGGAUGAAAACCAUAAAAAAUUAAUACUUUAUGGGUCAUUUCUUUUUAAAAAAAAUAUUUAAUUUAUAUCAAAUAGAUAACCUACUGAUUUUCUUUUUGCGAGAAUAUUAUUGUAACACUUUUUAAUACAAACGUUAAUAUAUUUAUCAUAAAUUAAAUAUUUGAAAAUAAAAUAUCUGUAAAGAGCGGAUACUUUAAAUAGGUUAUGUGUAUUUGCCUAUAAACUACACUCCUUACUUAAAUCAAUAAACUACAUUCCUUACUUAAAUUAAUAAACUACACUCCUUAACUUAAAUCAAUAAACUAUACUCCUUACUUUAAAGAGUAUAGUUUAUAGGCAAAUACACAUAAUCUAUUUAAAGUACCGACUCUUUACGGAUAUUUUAUUUUCAAAUAUUUAAUUUAUGAUAAAUGUAUUAACGUUUGUAAUUAAAAAUUAAAAAGUGUUAUUCAGAAAGAAAAGUAUCCAAGGCUUCCAAGCAUACGUUACAUUCAAAAGUAACAUUUCUUUGAUAAUACAUUUAGAUGCAAUUUUAGCAUUACAAAAAUUUGAAAAAUGUUAUUUGUACUCCAUUGUUUGUUAUUUGCAGUCUCAUUAUUUAUUUUAUCAUAUAAAUUAAUAUAUGAAAACUAUAUAAUUAAAAUAAUAAUAAAAGUAUGAUUAACAAAAAUAGAAAUGCAAAUAACGUUUUCCUAGAAAUUGUUCGUAAGGAAACUCUUAUUAUACAUAUCAAUUGUCUAUACGUUCCACUUGCUUCUUAAAUCAUGGUUAAGAACUCUUAUUACCCACGCCAAAACCAUAGUUCUAUUGUUACAUAUUCCAUUCCUCUUUCUGGGCUCUUCUUUCCAUUUCCUACUCAAGUUUAGAAAGAAAACAAAGAGUAGUAGUGUGAGAUUUUUCUUUAUAUUACAAGAUUGUGCUGCCAUUUUCCAGUGGACUUUCAUAGUUCAAUCUGCAUGGAAUAAUUAAAUCUUGUAUAGAUACUGAAGAAAAUGGCAUUGCAUUGCAUUGCUUUAGUUGUAGUAAUGAUAUUACAAUUAAUCACGAGAACAUAUUGAUAGUACACUUUUUGCAGCUUAAGCAGAAAACAAAGAAAAGAAAAAAGGACAAAAAAGUAGCAGUCAUUUAGGUUUUAACAGCAGAAUGUGGGUUGAAACCUAUGUUUUCAGAACCGGACCGGAUAUCGACUCGGCCGAGGUCAGGGGUCAGGGGUCAAUGGGUUCGACCGGGGGUCGAUAGGGGUCGAACCGGAUGACGUCAUAAAUAAAAAUUAUUUAAAAAUUAAAUUAUUGUAUAUAAAAUAUCCAAUAAUAUAUUGAUAUUAAUAAAGGUAUAUUCAUAUAUAUUUGAUGUUUCAAAUAUAUUUAACAAGAAAAUACAAAGAAAUUAGAACAAUCAAGUAACAAUUUAUAUUAUUUAAUAAACAUUAACAAGAUUAGAAUUAAAAUUAUGGAUUUAAUUGAAAAAUAACAUCAAAUUUUAGGACAAUAUUUAUAAAGUAUGAAAUAUUUGAUGUAUAUUAAUAAGUUUUCACAAUUUAGGGGGUCAAAAUAUAAUAUUAAAAAAGUUUGAAUUUUUUUUGCAAAAGCUCCUGUUGGACCGGUUUUUCCGGUUCUGUACCGGUCAAACCCGGUCAAACCCGAGUUUUGACCGGAGUUGACCGGGUUUUGAAUUUCCCGGUUUUGAUGAUCAACUCGGACCGGACACACCACCGGUUCCCGGUUCAACCGGUCGGACCGGCCGGUCCGGUCCGAGUUUGAAAACACAGGCACUUGAAACUUUGAAUCUGCAUGGAUGGGUUUAUAAGCAGCAGCAUCUCUACUGUCCACCACCUCCUCCACCGCUGCCGGAACCACUACCAACACCAAUGCCCUUGCCAGCACCAGCACCAGCCCCUACGCCAAUGCCUACUCCAACCCCAACACCAAUUCCACCUCCAUGGCCACCUCCUAAACCACCACCUGCACCGCCUCCAGCUCCACCUCCUACACCUCCACCAGCUCCUAAACCACCACCAUGGCCUGAUCCUCCCCCUCUUCCUCCACCACCACCACCUCCAAAUCCUCCACCACCUCCAACUCCUCCACUUGCCCCACCUCCAACACCUCCUCCUGCACCGAAUCCACCACCGUGGCCAGAACCACCUCCAAUGCCGCCACCGCCUCCACCUCCACCUCCUCCUCCGCCGCCACCUCCACCUGCUCCUCCUCCAAUGCCACCCCCUACUGCACCUCCUGCUCCAGCACCUCCACCAAGUCCUCCAGCACCACCACCUACACCUCCACCAGCUCCAAACCCACCUCCAUGACCUGAACCACCUCCAACGCCACCGCCUCCACCACUACCCCCUCCUCCUCCUCCACCAGCACCACCACCAAGUCCUCCACCACCACCACCACCACCUCCAGCUCCAAAUCCACCACCAUGACCUGAACCUCCUCCAACACCACCACCUCCACCUCCUCCAAACCCUCCUCCUCCACCUACACCACCUCCUGCACCUCCACCAACACCACCUCCUGCUCCAAACCCUCCACCUUUACCUGCACCACCCCCAACUCCUCCACCACCAAAACCGCCACCUCCACCUACUCCACCUCCACCACCAAGACCUCCUCCAGCUCCUCCACCAAAACCUCCACCACCUCCACGUCCACCUCCAAAUCCAGGACCUCUUCCUCCUGGUCUUCCAAAUCCACCACGUCCACCACCAAAACAACCUCUCCUUCCAAAUCCACAAUCAUUACCUCCCCACCUCUCUUUUUCUAUCUUGCUAUCUCCAAAAGCAACUACACUCAAUUCUAACACCACACUCAAGAUAAGAAGAAGCACGCAAAACCAUUUUUGAGAAGAACCCAUAAUGCUUACAAGAAUUCAAACUUGCUUUGCUCUACUGGCCUUUAGACAUGGGUAUAUAUAGAGGCUUAAUUCCUUAAAGAUACUACCAAAAGUAGUAAGUUGGCAAUAGGGUUUUCAACUCUCACUACGUAAUUAAUGCAUGCUCUGUUGCAUGGCUUGUACGACGCGUUCGAGUUGUUGGGGAGAUAAGAGAAAUUGAGGCGGGAACAUUAAAUGAAGAUAUAUUCAAAGUCAAAUCCCAUAGGUCGCUUGUGCUUGUUUUCAAUUCCACCGACAAGGAUUUACUAAGUUAUUUUACUCCAAAUUGACACGCUACGAUUAAUGCAUAUGGAAACUGUGGUCACUGGGGCCAAUCGGCCAUAAAUUUCUUCUUAUAUCCAUGUUCUUGAAGUAAAUGGCCUUCCCCUUUAAACCUUUCUAUUUGUUUUUGCAAGUGUAUCCUUAUAUUUUAUUAUUUUAUACUAUAUAAGAACGAGUUUAGGACAAAGAUGGUUUUAGAUUUCAACCGCAAGUGUGGGGCUAUUUUGGGAAUGUUAGAGUGUUUGAAGUGUAAUUGGAGCAUUGAGUACAAGUCAUUACAACUUUAAUUUCACUAUAAUUACUUAUAUAACAUUUCAGACAUUUAAGGUUAGGUGCAGGUUUGAUAUGUUAUAAUAUUUGGUGCCAAGUUGAGUAUCAAGUACAACUGAAUUAAGCUUGUGUUUUGAUAGAAUUACAUAAAAGCCCUUUUAAUCAUUUAUUAUACUAACAUCCAAACCUUCCAAUUUCCUGAAAACCUUUCUCAUACGUUAAGGAAUUAAUUGGAUGUUUACAUAAUUGGAUUUUAAUUACAAUUAAUUAACUUAAUUGUUAUUUGAACAAUCAUUAUCAUAUUUAUGCCCCCAUGUUAAGCCGAUACCCUUUCUUCUUUUUCGGUUUCACCUCUUUGGUUUUAUUAUGGCUAUUAAAUAUUUGGUGGAAGGCAUAGGUUUUCCUUUAAAUUGAGGUGAGUUCUUUGGGUUAGUCUUCUUCGAAUGUAGUUUUUUUUUUCUGAUGAGUGGUUUAUUCAAGAACUCAAUAUAGUUUGCUUUUUGAUACUUCUAAUUCCAAAAACUGACUAAUUGUAUUAUUUUCCUUAGUAGAUCCUAGAGAUUCUGUCUCUGAUUUGAGAUAAUGUUGUCACUUUCUAAAAUAAUCAGAAAAGCAAUUUUAUCAUCUUUUUCUCCUCGGCCAAGGUAUUAUCUCUUUAUUUAAGUCAAAUAACUUUAUUUCUCAUGAACUUUCUCCUAUUAUUUUUGACUCCAGGGAUCUGUUGACUACAUUCCAGCAGUUAUGUUUUUACCAUAACUACCGCAAAGCAAACAAAUGUGUAGACAUGCUAGCGAAUUGGGGAAGAAGCAUCAAUGAAGACUCCACCUUUUUUUAAUCCUAUCCUGAUUUUGUCCUUCCCUUACUUUUGCAAGACUUAAAAGGGUGUCAUCAACACACGGAUGACUUUACUUUAACUAUUACUCUAUAGACUUUGACUUUGUUUUAAUGCAUCUUUAUUUUACUAAAAAAAAAAGACUUUCUUAUAUGUCGUGAUUCACCACCUACACAUACCGUCACAUACUAUAUAUCAUUCAAACUAAAUCAUGUAGAAGCAUGAUAUAUUUUGACAGUUCUCGAAAGAAAGGAGUUUGAAUUUCCAGAAUUCCCGAUGUCUUGUUGUUACCAAGUAGCUAGGAAUCCAAAUUCCCAAGUGGAAAAAAAAAGAAAAAAGAAAAGGGUAUGAUCCGACAAUUACCAUGAAGAAACCCCAACCUUGACAUCUUCUUCUAAGGUCUCAGAUUGCUUGAAAACGCUAAUCAGUAUUGUUGAAACUAAGGUAUGAAAAAUCGAUGAAAGCGAUUGAAACUUGAGGGUUUGAGGCAAUAGGCAUAUGGGUGUCGGCUUUGCAAUAAGUAUAGCAAGAAGGGAUGGAGUUGAGGCCUGGUGAUUCUGCUGAUAGUUUAAUGCUUGACAAAUUUUUUGAUGGUUGAACAGAAUUAUUAUGGCAUUGUAUAUUAUGGAUAUAGUAUGGUUCAAGUAGUUAUUUUUUCAUGUAAUAUGAUUUGGAAUUCAUCUUGUGUUUAUUUUAACUGAGAAUUUUAUGAUUGUAAAAUUUAUUAACUUAGAAUUUUGUACUUCAUUGAAACUAAAAAAAAAAAUUAAUCAUGCUACAUAGUACUAAAAUGUCAUUUGCACUCUAUUUGCUUUCCCUGUUAUGAUCUCGUUCUUGUAUUCUAAUGUUUAUAUAGUUUCAAAUACAAAAAAUUUACUUUUUAUGCUAUCUAAAAGAAUUUGCAGUGGAACUUGAUGAGUUUAAAUGCUUUAGCUAUAGCACCAUUUUGAUUGCAUUGUAUGAAUUCAUUUACUCAUAAUUGUAUGUUGUACAAUGAUAAAUAAUGUUUCUUGAUUUGAUUGAAGCAACUAUUAUCUAUAGUUCAAACGAGUCAAUUAAGUAGAGUUGCUAUAUUGAAUACUCAUACAAGUAAACAUUAGAAAAUAUCAUUAAGCAGUUUCUACCUAUAGUUUGCAAUUCGAAUUCAUAUGAGGAAUUUCUUCUGAUUUUAGUUACCAUUUUCUACAAUUUCAAAUUUAGAACAUAUUAUUUGCACCAAUUUUUUAUAAUCAAGAUAGUUUCAAUUCAGAUCUUUAACAAUUAUGCAGAUUUGAACUUAUUUAUGAGAUUAUAAAGAAAUGCCCCUAGCAAAAAACACCAAAUCUGAAUAGUUUCUACAAAACUUUGAAAAAGACCACUUAAGUUUCUUAUCUAUCUAUCAUUUUUGGGCAUUAUUAUCUCUGUAAGAAACAUGUGAUUAAGUCGUAUUAUGCCCACCAAAUUAUAUAAAUAGUUAGUCUAAAAUAAAAUUAUUUUAGAUUAGAUUGGACGCAAAGUGAUUGAUGGAUAAACUUGACUUGAUAAUUCAGGUUGACCUUAAGUUGAGGGAGAAAUCAGAAGCAUUACUUAAGGGAUCUUUCACGAACAUAUAUAGAUUCGAGAGAUGAGGGGUCCAAUUGAUACUUUAAAAUGUUUUAUCAUCUUGGAUAAGUUUUAGAAGAGACUUUUGGAUAAUUUUCAAUUGCACUUUAAACAUUUUUACCUUUUCAAACUACCCUUAUCUUUGUGAUUGAAAUUCAAACAUAACCUUUGAUCACAACGGAUUCUUACAUAGUAUAAUGAUAAGGAUGUUUCAUUGCAUAUUAUUUUAUUGACUCACUAUGUAACUUAUGUUUUUUCUAUUAAAAUCACAUGAUAAAAUCAUCAUACUUCAGUUCCUAUACUACAAAAUAUUUAACAAUAAUUAUUAAUUAUCUUGAAUUACAAACACCAAAUUCCCGCGCGUCGCGCGGGCUGUCCCUCCCUAGUUAUUAUUAUUAGUUUGUAUCCUAUUAAGUGAAACUAGGUAUAUCUCGGAUGAUGGGUUUAAUAAUUGUUAGAGCAAUUAAUGAUAAAAUUCCAGCAUUUUGAUAAUGAAUGGUAAAGUUGGAAUUUGAAGAAAAUUUGAUUAUGUAGUAGUUCAAUAAAUAGAUGACUUAAAAUAAAUUUACUAGAGGAAAGGGUACACAGAAAAAGGAAAAAAAAUCUAUGGUAGUCAAUUGAAGUUAUGUUAAGUUCAUCAAUAGAGCGUGUUUUGUUGGACAGUAUUGGUUAUUUGCUGCAAUUAGCAAGUUUUAUUAGUCUUCAAGUGUAAGCGCGUGUGUGUCGCGUGUGUGUUUUUUUUCUUUUUGGAGAGGUUAGUAUCUUUUUACCCUUGUUUUGAGGGUCAAAGAGGAAUACUUAAAGUUGCAAGAAAAUGUUUAAACCUCUAAAAACUAUGUGUAGAGAUAAAUUUUUUUAUUUUUUACAAUUUUAAUAUCUGCAUUUAUUAUUUUAAAAUUACUAUUUUAUGAUCUAUAUUGUCUAAUGCAAUAUGCAUUUGGCACUGACAAUUGUUGAGGUCAAAUAUUAAAACAAGAGUAAAUAUUGACAGCGUAUACACUAUCAUCGUUAGAUUCAUGAUAUGUGUACAAAAGUUGAAUUUCAAAUUCAAAAUUUGUAUAUUUGUCAUUCAUCUAACGCUAAAGCGUAGAAAAGAUUCAUUAUUAAAACAAUACCAAGCCAAUUAUUAGGAUGGAAGGAUUACUAGCUACUUAAAUGUAGCCAUUAUACUGUCAAUUAAAAAAAAUGUAGCCAUUGUCAAAUACUGUUGAAUAAUUAGACUUUAACGUACAUUGGUCAAGUUUAAAUUUCUUUGACAUAAAUAUCCAUUAAUGUAUGUUUGACAAGAUCAAAUUUCAAUGUCAACGACCACGGAAAAUCUCCAUACUGGCGAUCUGAUCGCCGUUAUGGGAAAAAAAGCGGCGGAUCAACUGUUCACAUGGUUGUAUACAGUUAGGGUGGUCAACCGUUGACGCCUUAUCCUGGUGCAUUUGCGCUUUUUAAUUGACAAUAAUACUAACAAAUAAUGCUAAUUAGUUUAUACCAAUUUAGGAAUAACUAAGAUGCAUUACCUUUUCACAAAAGAAAAAGAAAAAGAAAAAGAAAAAGCCUAAGAUGCAUUACCUUUUCACUAGUUAGUUUUUAUAUGAGUGCAUCUGUAUUUACUUUGAAGUAUAUGGUUUUCGAAAGUAUUAUUUUUCAAGCUUAAGACUCAUGGUUUUUUUUUCUUUUCUCUUUUUUUUUUUUGCAUGAGAAAAGAGAAAUAAAGGUUUGGUAUUACUCGGGCAAGUCAGUUUGAUUUCCUUGACUGUGAGAUUACGUCUCCUUUUUUGACUUAAUUUUUCCUACCAUUAUCUUCCAAACAUGUUCUGAAAUAGUCUGUUUUAUGUUCCAAUGUCCGCCGUUGGUAUCUAUAUUUAGCCAUGAAGCUAGAACCCAAAAGAACUUCACUGAUGAAAAGGUAAAUAUUAGGGCGAUUCUGGUAGCUUAAAUGCCUUUAGGGUGCAACAAGAUUUGAGGUGAAAGAUAAUUGGAUUUAAGCUAUGACAAGAAUUGUGAGAUUGUUUGUAGUCUACGGCAAAAAUGGCCCCUGGAUUUGGCUUAAAAUGACUAUCGACAUAAUUAGACCAAAUUUCUGAAUGUUAAUAUUUUCUAUCCUGAUUUUGAAGUUUUUGUUCUAAUCUAAUUUUUGGUAAUUUAACCUAAUUCUUGUAAUCUUAUAAGAUUCAUAUAUUUCAUUCUGCUAAGCAUUUGACGUAAAAUAUGCUUUGCCAAUAUAGAGAUGUCAUAGCGAACUCAAAUAUUUGUGUCAAGGAAAUAAUCGUUUUAGGCUAUUUCUUCACUUUAAUCGGAAUUAGAAUUGAAAUCAUACUUGUCUGAAUGAUUGUCUUUAGCAAAAUGUAUAGAAUUGUCUUUAGUUCAAAAGCCUCGCACAUACUUGAGAAUUGAGUCUGAUAGAGUCAAUAAUAGCAAUGCACUUUGUAAAACGAAGGCCAUUGUCUAGAAGGAAAUUUAGCACUUGGACGAGAAUUUCCCAGAUUCUCAUCAAAACCGAAGGAAACAGCACACAGCAGAGACAAAAUCAGCUAUCAAUGAAAUCAGUUAACCAAAAGAUUGGAAUUAAUUAAUAAGCCUGUUUUGGUAUAAUUUUGAAGAGCCAAACGAGGUCCAAAUGUUUCAGUAAAUUCGCAUCAUUUUGGUUCUUCAGUAAAAUUUACGCAUAAUAAAAAGUUUCCUUUUGGAAGUAAAAUAUGUUAGAUGCCAAAUUUACACAAUAUUUGUCAAAUUAGAUUCACGGAAAUCAAUGAGCUGAGCAUCGGGUUUUAUAGGUCUCGUUACACAAGUGCAUAAAAUGACGGAUGAUUAGCAGAUCUUGCACAAAAAGGGAACAAGGAAAUCGGGAAGUGUUUAAUUAGUUAUUUAUUUAAUAGGACAUACGUACUUUUUUUUUUCCAAGAUUUCCAUAAUAUGCAACUGAUUUAUGGAAAUUAACGAGCUCCACCCCACUAUGUAUAGGCCAGGGAGGUAAUACUUAGACAUGGGAUUCAAGAAAACAAAGUGCAACACUUGAACUAGUCCUGCAUGGACAUAAUUAAAAUCCACCACCACUACCACCACCUCCUCCGAAUCCUCCACCGCCUCCAACGCCUCCGCCUGCUCCACCUCCUACACCCGCUCCAGCACCAAAUCCACCACCAUGUCCAAAACCUCCUCCGAGGCCUCCUCCUCCUCCACCACCUCCACCUCCACCACCACCGCCUCCACCACCACCUCCAAUGCCACCUCCUACUCCGCCACCUGCUCCAAAACCUCCCCCAUGGCCAGAACCGCCACCGACACCACCUCCUUGGCCGCCGCCUCCUCCAGCACCUCCACCAAUGCCUCCUCCGACACCUCCUCCUGCUCCAAAUCCACCACCAUGACCUGACCCACCCCCAAUGCCACCACCUUCACCACCGCCAAACCCUCCUCCUCCACCAACUCCGCCACCUGCACCUCCGCCAACACCACCUCCAGCUCCAAACCCACUGCCACCACCAACUCCUCCGACUCCAAAUAACCCUCGUCCUUUCCUUCCCCUACCACUACAACCCCUCCUACCAAUUCCACAACCAUCUUCCUUCAAUUCUUUGUUAAGCUUGCCAUCACCAAGAGUUGUUACACUCAACUCUAACACAAUGCUCAAGAGAAGAAGAAACACAAAGACACAUUUUCUCGAAGAUGAACCCAUAUUGCUAACAAGGUUCACACUUCGCAGUUCAAUUUGGCGUGCUCUAUUGCACCCCAAGACUUGGCAUUUAUAUAGGCUUCACCUUACUAGCGAAAGUGCCAAGAUUGUCAAUACACCGUUAAUGUAAGCAUUAAAAAUUCUUACUCAACGCGUCACAGCCGUUGGGGAGAUAUGGCGGGAGCCAUUAAUUAAUGAAGUGACCAUCAAAGUCAAUCUCUGAUGCAUCUUUGGAGCAUAUUUUCAAAUCUGUUGACAAAAAAAAAAAAAAGGAAAAGUAUUACUGAGUCGGUGUUUCUCAUGCAUUCAAGUGUAAGAAUACAACUUCUUGUUUUUUACAGACAUAACUUGCAUAUUACCUUUCAAAUUGCGCAAGUUAAUUUCAACCCACUUGGCACAAAUAUUUAGAGCUUUGCUUGCACAGCAACCAAAUUUAUUAGCCACCUGCAUAUCUGCUUGUGAUGGACUCAUGAUAAGCCACGACAUCAAGUAUUUUACCAUGCUACAACGUGCAAGUAGUAAUAUUUUUUUUUCCCUUUUCUUGCUCUUGUCCUUGGCGCUGAGAUCAUUGAGAAGGCAGCAGUCUUUGCAUAGAGUCCUACAUUGCUGAUUACAACUCCAUUGUUGAACAACGAUGCAUUACGUGUCUUGAGACGACUAGGGAUGGCCAAAAUGGCCCGUAUUUCUGGUGGAGAUUUUCUGACACGAUUUCAGUAUUUUCUCCAAUUCUGGCAACAUCUCCAAUUAUAUAUCCAAAAUUGUGCUUGCAAAAUAAUAGGAAGAAUGGCCAUGACACACAACAUUCUUGUUGGUUAAGACACUUUUUUUUUUUUUUUUUUUGCUUUUUGGGGGAUUUUGACAUAUGAUACUCUAGAGCUAUCACUUCGGCAUCAUUUCUUUUUCAAAUGUACCUUUUAAUUGAAUUACAAACUUUGCAAUGGUUGUGCUAAUAAUUUUUUUUCUUUACAAAGGGAAUUUUCUAUAACUCUCGGAGUUGUAAUUUCACGUAAAAUUGUCCCUUAGACAACAAUUAUGGUUGUGGAAAACAACUAACGCAAUUUUAAGUUGUAAAAGAUGUUACUCUUGACGGCUAAAAUGGCUCAAGUAGUCAAAGAGAUUAAAGACAACUACUAGUUGAGAACUAAGCUCGGAACUUGUGGUUCGGGGAGGUUUUUGGUUUAUAAAGUCAAUGGAAAGUGAUUGAAGGAAAUGGCAUUAACAUUAUUACAUAGAAGAGGAUGGAUUCGUCAAAAUUGUGUGUGUGUGUGUGUGUGUGCAGAUUUAUGUGUAUUGAGAGAUGUUGUAAACUAUUAUCCUGUUAUCCAUGAUUAUUAUAUAAGUAGAAUUUCUUCGUAGCAUUUAUUAAAGAUAUAUCUUACAACUAAUUUAGUUAACAUUAACUCAGUCUUAAAGGCGAAGAAAACUGUCUUUCUUUCCCAUUGGAUAAUACGCUCAUUGAAGUCAACUAACCAGUAUUUGUUUGACCUUAAUUUUGGGGCAUGGUGACUAUAUACAGUCUAUAGAACCAGUGAUCAAUUGGCAGUCUUUAUUUGACAUUUUGCGUGUAGAAUCAUUUGUGGAUUACUUUUGAAAAAGUAAUCAUCAACUUGAGGCACUGCUGCGAAAUCUCCUGCAUCUCUUAUUUUGACAAUAGUCGGCAGAAAAUUCCAAUAAGACAUAUUGAAAAAUGAAAAAAAAAAAAAAACGCUGGAGCAGUAACUCGUUCAUUAAAGUUGGUAAUCUAUUUGGACUAUAGUUGCAUCAAAGACGCUGCAAUUUUCGAAUGUUAUGAGAUCAUGAGACUGUUUGCUUUUCAUGGAUAGGUAUAUCUAAAAUUUUAGAGAUAUGAUUAGAAUUAAAUUGAGAGACAAACUUUUAUCAAAAUUAUGAAAUACUAUAAUGGUUCAUAAGCGCCUGUAGCUCUCAAAGUUAUAAACGUAUGUAAUCCUAAUAUGUUCUAAUCCAUUAUAACCUGUCAAUUGCCAAAACAAUUUUCUCUUGAUCCUACACCAAAUCUAGCUCCUGCCUCAAGUCAAUUAAGUCACUAGAGGCAACAGCAAAAUUUCUAUUAGCUCCAAGAAUGUUGGCAUAUUAAAUCAAGACUCAAAAUUAGAAAUUUUUUAUAUUGUUAUUUAGUAGUGUUUCAGUUAAGUUAGGGUUUUAGUAAAUCUAUUGGAGUCAAGUUAUGGUAGUUUCAUUGUUUAGAAAUGAAUAUUUUAUUAGGAAAUUUCUUAUGGUUAUAAGGCUUGUUUACUAAGUCAUGUAGUUUAUAAAUAGGGAGUCUUAUUAUUAUUGUCAGUUGAGAAGAGCGAAGGAUUGCCCAGUCUGGGUUCGGUCCGGUGGUUGUAGCCCAGUUGGGUGAGAGCCACCAACCAAGGAUCGAAUCCCAGUCGUUACCAUUGACCGAUGAUGUCGGGCAGCCUCUCGCGGUCACGCAGUGGGAUUAGUUGGGGCGUACGGUAACCAGUCCUCGGCCCCAGAUACCCACUGUGAUGAAAAAAAAAAAAAAAAAAGAGAAGAGCGAAGGAUUAAGAGUCUUGUUCUUAUGAUCUGAGUAAUAGAUUAUCAUUGAUAUUAUUCCUCUUCUUCCACACAUAUUUUUAUGUGUGUAAAUUGCCUCUCCAUAUGCAUUGAUUUUAUGAAAUAUAUCUCCUAUAUAUUUUUGGUGAAUUUUUUUAGUUCUACAAAGAAGCACUCUAAUUCUUGCUCACCUGCCACUGCUCCUUUCCGACCAAAAUCACAAUCACCAUUGCCACGUGCGAUUGCACUCAAGUCCAAGGCAAUGCUCAAGAGAAGAAGCAACACACAAAACCAUCGUUGAGAGAAACGCAUAUUCUUUACAUUAACUGACUCAAAAGGAUUGAAGUUAAAAUCUACGUAGUACUAAAGAUUGUCCUCCCAGUAUAAAUAUAUCUGCUUCGACGUAUAUGAUUUCUCAGUGUAUUCAUUUUAAAGCAUUAUGAAUCGCAGCCUUUUUAUUUGUUUUUAUUUUCAACAAAAAAGAAAAAUAGCUGAUUGGUCUUAGUGAGGGCAAGUUGCAUUUCCUUGAGUGUAAGACUAUUUGUCAAGUAAAUUUCCAAAUUAGUCUAUUUUUUGUUCCAUUGUCCAUGGUCGCUAUUUGUAUUUAAUCAUGAAGAUAGAACCAAAAAUAAAAAUAAAUAAAAAUAAAAGAUUAGGGUAAAUAUUAGGGUAAUUUUGGUGCCUAACAACCUUUUAGGAUGCAACAAACCCAGAAUAUUGAAUAUUGUCCAGUUAUAGUUGUUUCUUAUUUAUUGAAUAUUGUGGGUCAUAUAUAGGGUGUUUAGCCACUGUAUUCAAUUGUAAAGAGUGAGAGACAAAAUUAAUAGAUACUAUUCAGACUUUUGGGAGUUCUAAAAUUAGGGUGGAUUUGACUCCCAUUAACAUUUCAAGUCAGGGCAUGCCAAUAGAACUAUAAAUCAUUUAUAAAGACUCUUACAGUCGCUCGCCAACACAUGUUUACGGGAUCAUAAGUCAUUUAUAGAAAUUCUUACGUACCGCUCAUCAAUACAACUCUCACAUCGACAGUCGAAUUCAAACAUACAACCUUUUGUGAAGAAGUGACUUAUCCUUGUCAAUUGAACCCACUUGUAGUGGCAAUCAAAUCCAUCUACAUUCAAUGUCCCAUGUUUGCCAAUAUAGGAAUGCCAUUGUCAACUCAAAUAAUUGCUUGCACCCAUGGAAAUAAUGUUUUAGGCUGUUUCUUCAUUUCAAUUGGAAUCAGAACUGAAAUCUUGCAAGUUGUGAUCAAAAUUUUCUUAACAAUUGUCUUUAGCAAAAUGCAUAGAAUUCAUUCUUUUCGAGUUCCAUAAUUUGGUUCAAAUAUUUCGCAUGUACUUUAGAAUUGAGCCUCAUAGAGCUAAUAGUAACAAUUUAUUAAUGGGCCAUAGAACCUGGUUAAGACCAAAAGGAAAAAAAAAAAAAAGAACAGUUUAGUUUUGUAAAAAGAAGGAAUAAGCGCCCUAGAGACAAAAUCAGCAAGCAGUGAAAUCCAUUAAACAAAAGACUGGAAUAAGCAGGUAUAAUUUUGAAGAACCAAAUGAGGUCUAAAUUUUUCAGUAGUUUCACAUCUUUUUGGUUUGUCAGUAAAUUUUUCUGUAAGAAGGAUUUUUUUGCAAGCUAAAAUAUGUUAAAGAUCGAAUUCGCUCAGUAUUUGUCAAAUUCCAUUCUGGGAAAUCAGUGAGCAGCAUCAGCUUUUGACUCCAAAGGAUAUACAAUUGGCUUUUGGAGAUCAAAUACUAUCAAAUACUACCCAUAGAAGUGUCUACACCAAUUGGUAAACUAGCUUUUGUCUUGCUUAAUAUAUUUGUCUUUCAAUAAGCCAUGAGAAUUAAUAAUUCUGGGAACAUAUUAAUAUGAUAUUAUUCAAACUAUAUUACUAUUUCAGUUUAUUCUAACUUCAGUAAUUGUGAAAACUUUUCGCCUUAACCAGAAUGGAUGUUUCAAAAGAAGAAGAAGAAGAAGAAGACUAGAAGACUAGUAUCAGAUCUUGCAUAAAAAGGAAACAAGGAAACGUUUAGUAGGGCAUGUAAAUCAUGCAUUAAUUGUUUCUCGAACAGGACCUACGUCCUUUUAUCCAAAAUUUCCAUAUUAAAGGAAAUCAACGAGCUCCACCGAACCAUAGACUAGGGUGGUGGUAAUACAUACGUUCAAGAAAACAAAGGACCAAGGUUGAACUAAUCCCAGUAGACAUGUUUUAGUUUCCACCACCACCACCUCCUCCUCCGAAUCCUCCACCGCCUCCAACUCCUCCACCUGCUCCACCUCCUACACCUCCUCCAGCACCAAAUCCACCACCAUGUCCAGAACCUCCUCCAGCUCCACCUCCAAUGCCACCUCCUACUCCACCACCUGCUCCAAAACCUCCACCAUGGCAAAAACCGCCACUGACACCACCUCCUUCACCACCACCACCGCCACCGCCACCGCCACCGCCGCCGCCGCCGCCACCGCCUCCUGCACCUCCACCAAUGCCUCCACCUACUCCUCCUCCUACUCCAAGUCCACCACCAUGACCUGACCCACCGCCAACACCACCACCUCCACCACUGCCAAACCCUUCUCCACCAACUCCGCCACCUGCACCUCUACCAACACCACCUCCUGCUCCGAACCCACCACCCUUUCCAGCACCACUACCAACUCCUCCACCUUUACCACCUCCAAAACCUUCUCCAUCCCUGCACCACCACAACACCGCCUCCGGCUCCAAACCCUCCACCUUUUCCAACACCACCACCAACUCCUCCACCUUCACCGCCUCCAAAACCUCCUCCACCCCUUGCACCACCACCUACUCCACUCCCUGCACCACCACCAACACCACCUCCAGCUCCAAACCCUCCACGUUUUCCAGCACCACCACCAAUUCCUCCACCUUUACCGCCUCCAAAACCUCCUCCGCCACCUGCAGCUCCACCAACACCACCUCCUGCUCCAAACCCACCACCCUUUCCAGCACCACCACCAAAUCCUCCACCUUUACCACCUCCAAAACCUCCUCCACCACCUACUCCACCCCCUGCACCACCACCAACACCACCUCCGGCUCCAAACCCUCCAUUUUUUCCAGCAGCACCACCAACUCCUCCACCUUCACCGCCUCUGAAUCCUCCUCCGCCACCUGCACCACCACCUACUCCACCCCUGGCACCACCACCAACACCAACACCAACACCACCUCCUGCUCCAAACCCUCCACCUUUUCCUGCACCACCACUAAAUCCUCCACCUCCACCACCUCCAAACCUCCUCCAACUCCACCUAACCCUCGCCCUUCCUUUCCCCUACUACCACAGUUUCAUGACACCAAAGCAUUAGCUUUUACAUGCAUUACUACAGCAGUGAUUAUUAAUAUCAUUAAACUUUCAAACAGGAAAAUAGGCAAAAAAAAAAAAUGUACUCCAUGUUUCUCAUUACAACCGUUUGCAUUCCACUACAAAAUUGGCCAAAGUAUCAAAAGGGCAAAAACUAGAGGUCCUUGUGCUUGGCCUUCGUCAUUAUCUAUUUAGUCGAAUUAAUAUUAAAUAUAAUUAAACAAUCCAAAAGAGACAAAUCAAUAAAUCUUUCAUCCUGGCAUUCAUAUUUGCAAAAAUACAAUAUUUAUUGAAGUAAUAUAAACUAUCUGUGUGCAUAUUUGUACCUUCACAAUCACUUAUUAUAUAAAUGUCAGAAUCCGAAGAAUCUGUACGGCCUUGUUCAUCAUCAUCAGAGCUCUCUAUAUAUUGAACAAUAUCUUUUCCUGCAUCCACAUCAUAAUCAAAAUUCAGCCCAGAAAAAAAAAGGACACGUCCUUUGAAGAAGAAUUCAAAAAACAACAAUAAGCAUCUAUAAAUCUAUUUCCUCAAAAAACCCAGAAAUAUGAAAGCUAAAAAAAAGAAUCCCAUUUCGAUUUUAAUGAACCAAAUGAUCAAGCAAAGAGUAGUAGAUAAGGAAAUAAAGAAAGACAAACAGCAAGUCAGCAACCAAUAAACAGCAGGGUUCUUGGAACGGUACCUUUUGAAGCUCGAGAACGGAGAUUCAUCCCUAAAACAAGAAGGAAAAUGAAAAGUAGGAUUAGGGAUUUUCUGGGUUUUCCAAAUUAGAACGAAAAUUUGGGUUUUCUUGACUUUGAAGAAGAAGGGGGAAAGGGGUCACUCAACAGUCGUGUGCGUGUUUUCGGCUUAGUUUGGGAGUUUAUGAAGGAAGAGAAAAGAAAAGAUAGCUUAGGAAAGAAAGGAAGAGAAGGGAAAAGAUGCAUAUUUCGUUUGGGAGUUUAAUGAAAGAAAAGAAAAAAAAUAUCUUUCUUUUAUUUGAGAGUUGGAGAGAUAUGGAAAGAAAGGAUUUUAUGAGAAUAUAACUUUACAUAUUUGCCCUUUCUAUUUGUAAAUCAAAGUCCAAAAAUUAGCUUUCUUGUUCCCAUAAAUAGAAUAUUUGGACAAGACAAAUUUCUAAAACAAUUGCAUAUACAUUCCCACAUGGUGAAUAAUACAACAAAUUUCUUGCUGGACUUCGAUUCUCUUGCAUGCAUGUAAAUCGCCUCAAGUCCUUGUAGUGUCUUUUAGGUAUUCUUGACAUAUGAUUUUGAUAUUGACCGGAAAUGCCAUUAUACAUGUUUCAGCUAGUGUUUUUGCUAAGUUGAAACUCAAGUUUACCACUAAUUAUUCGAUUAUCUCAAUCUUCACUUCUUCACCACUUGAUCCAUCCUAAUGUUUAUAAAAUUUUAUUUGUUGAUGGUUAAUGCACUGACAAGCAUGACGUUUGGCAUUUAAUAUUGAAAGUUUUCAUCAUUUGAUCUUUUUUUUUGUUUUUUUUAAAAGAAAAAUCAUUCCAAUAAACGUAUUUGAGAGUAAAUAUCAAAUAAGAACUUGGGACUCUCAAAUAGCCAAUACGUUCGGGGGAGCCUGGGGACUUUGGCUCAACUCCAGAGUAACCACAUCCCACAACAGCUACACGUAUUUGAGAGUCCUUACCAAAGUUCUGGCGCUCUAAUGCUCUAAGUUUUUCAUCAACCAUCUGAAUUUCAAGAAGACCAAGACAAUACCAAUUAUUCUAAUUUACAUGCUGCAUUACUGUUUGAAGUAAUUACUGAAUAACUAAUGCUCAGUAGUACAUAUACUAACGCGAGCAUCUUCAAGAGUAGAAAAUGGCAAUGCAUACUCUGCAGCACCAGGCACAGAUUCAAGCUUUGCCUAAGCACCUAGUGCAAGUACCAACCUGGCUGCCCAAGCACAAAAAAACUAACAAUUUAGUACAGUCCAAUUCAUUCAUCCACACCGCUACCUCUGCCAGGAACAUAUAAACAUAGAUAAAAUAUUUUACUCAAAAAAGAAAGAGACUUUGGUUGUUAGCAAGAACCAAUAAGUGUGUUUAUUGGUUGAAAGACAAUAUUACUAAGUGUGUUUACUCUGGAGUUGAGCUGGUACCAUAAAAUACAUAAACAAGAUAUACGUGGAAUGCAACCCAAGUCAAUAAAAUGCCAUGCAACCAAGUGAACUCAAAAUAUACAUAAACCAGGUUUACAUGGAAUGCAACUAGGUUUCCUGUAGCAUUCAGAUUUCCGAAUUCACAUGAGCAUUUACUCCUGAUACAAAAUAAUUCUAUCAAUUUCUAAACAAAAAUACACCCAAUGAUCUACAUAUUUUCAAAACAUGAAAUGUCCAGUGGGUAAUUGGAAUCAUCUCCAAUUUCCAAAACUAGCUUAUAUCUUCAAAAGUAUUUGGUUUGGCUGCAUGUCAAGAACCAAUAUCAAGAAAAGCAAUGUGGUGCCUACUAAGAAACCGCCAAAGUUUACAACCCUAUACACACGCACACAGAGAUACAAAGACAUGCGCGUGCAAAAUCCCCACAAUGUAAUGUACCUCCGACAUUUUAAGAGUUAAUCUAACUCACCAUCUCAGUUAUUAUCGGACAAAUUACUUACCAAUUACCAAAUUUUUCCAUAGUAAAACUCACAGUUUCAUGACACCAAAGCAUUAGCUUUUACAUGCAUUACUACAGUAGUGAUUAUUAACAUAAUUAAACUUUCAAACAGGAAAAUAGGCAAAAAAAAAAAAUGUACUCCAUGUUUCUCAUUACAACCGUGUGCAUUCCACUACAAAAUUGGCCAAAGUAUCAAAAGGGCAAAAACUAGAGGUCCUUGUGCUUGGCCUUCGUCAUUAUAUAUUUAGUCGAAUUAAUAUUAAAUAUAAUUAAACAAUCCAAAAGAGACAAAUCAAUAAAUCUUUCAUCCUGGCAUUCAUAUUUGCAAAAAUCAAUAUUUAUUGAAGUAAUAUAAACUAUCUGUGUGUGCAUAUUUGUACCUUCACAACCACUUAUUAUAUAAAUGUCAGAAUCCGAAGAAUCUGUACGGCCUUGUUCAUCAUCAUCAGAGCUCUCUAUAUAUUGAAUAAUAUCUUUUCCUGCAUCCACAUCAUAAUCAAAAUUCAGCCCAGAAAAAAAAAAGGACACGUCUUUUGAAGAAGAAUUCAAAAACAACAAUAGCAUCUAUAAAUCUAUUUCCUCAAAAAAACCCAGAAAUAUGAAAGCUAAAAAAAGACAUCCCAUUUCGAUUUUAAUGAACCAAAUGAUCAAGCAAAGAGUAGUAGAUAAGGAAAUAAAGAAAGACAAACAGCAAGUCAGCAACCAAUAAACAGCAGGGUUCUUGGAACGGUACCUUUUGAAGCUCGAGAACGGAGAUUCAUCCCUAAAACAAGAAGGAAAAUGAAAAGUAGGAUUAGGGAUUUUCUGGGUUUUCCAAAUUAGAACGAAAAUUUGGGUUUUCUUGACUUUGAAGAAGAAGGGGGAAAGGGGUCACUCAACAGUCGUGUGCGUGUUUUCUUGUCUUUCUACGUAAAUCCCAAUUACGCCAGUUGCUACUGAGAUAAAGAUAACGAACAAUUACGGAUUCAAUUAUCCCUAUUUAGCAAAAUAGCCUAUGUGAAUAAUUAAAUAUUGCGCGUCUAUUCAAUCACUCACACGAGCUAUAGCAAUUAAAAGCAGGAAACAUAUAAAUACCAAUAAAUUAAGGAAACAAUUAAAAUAAAUUAGAUCUCACAGUAAUUGUUGAGCCAAGUCUGCAGUUGUCCCCUUGACUAGAAUUAAGAGGUUAGUCCUCCAUUAAUGGAGAACAACCAUGCGAAAAAGCUAAGAAAAGAAAAACUAAAACUAUCGAUUCCUCCCAGUUCUCUGUACGUUUCCCCCUUUUUAAAGCCAAAAGGAAGUCUAAUGCUAUCUCUAGUGGUCCCCACACCAAAUUCAAAGUCUUGUACGUUUCUUUUCCUAGAGUCCAAAUGACUCAUGCUUCUUAUCCGUGGUCCCCGCACAUGUGGACAAAGCCUCCAAAGUACUUGUUGUUCCAAAUCUCUCUACGUUGCUUUCUUUGAAAAGCCCAAAUGACUAAAUGCCUUGCACUAGCUUGUGGUCCCCACCAAUUCAAGGACCCAAAGGUUGAAGCCCUUAGAAGUCUGCAUUUUUCCAUACAAGUCCCUCCUUUUUGGUAAUUUUCUGCUUCACUCCUGAAAUUGAUUCCAAAUACCAAAUAUGAGUAAAUAUCAGCAAUUAACACAAUAUUUGUCAGGGAUAGAAGGGGAAAUCAAUAAUAAAUUUACUAACAAAUUAUACCCUAUCAAAAUUCCACAAAUAUAGUAUAUUAAGAAGCAUAAAAACAAAUGAAAAUUAAACUAACCAAUGGCUGACCCUAUUUGUAAAUUGCAAUUUCAAACCAAAUGUUAAGAUAAUCUCUUGAAGGUCUCACUGUGAACAUAUAUAUUUGUCUCCACUGACAUUUAUGUAACUACAAUUCCAACCAGAUUAGUUUAUAUAUUGAUCACUUUAACAAUCUGAUUAGGUUUAACUUCAAUCCAAUGCUCAAAGUACAUGCACUACCCAGCACAUAGCACAUCACCGCUAACUACCGCUAACACCGCACUUAGCACAGCAUGAAUUUGUACUGGAAAUGAUGCUUGAAAAUUUGAAUGUUCAAUAUUGUUAGAUUUCAACAAGAGAAAAAGACUACAAAAUGAAUCCUACAUAACAAUCUCCAAUGCAAGUACGAGGGUAUUAAAGACCAACAAGGGUAAGAUAGUCAAAAAUAAACAAAAUGAAGGGCAAUAUAGACAAAAGAUAGUAUACCAAACACUUACCUAGUAAACUAAUCAGAAACAAAAAACCAACAAACUUAACCUUCAACCCAAAAAUUUCAAGAACUCCACCUACUAAUGGUGCCCAUAGGGGACCAUUAGCCCUAUUCCUAACUCCCACUCCCCCUCUUUUUUUUUUCCUUGACUUGGACCAAUCAUGUGGGAGGUAACUAUACUUAAGCAAUAGGCACUUUUGUCAUUUCACUUUUUCCAUCAUUUGGAUUUGGAUCUUAAAAAUAAUAGAGGAAGUCAAUCAAAUUUGGCUAAACCAUAAGGGCUAAUUCAUAAUUGGAACCACUCUUCAAGUAAUAAAUGAACCAUGAUGACUAUGUAAUUACUAGGGCCAGUCUAGUGGUUUUGAGAGGACUUUUAGAGUCCAUCUAUUGUGAGGUUCAGAAUUUGAUGUGCACAAUCGAGGGUGGAAGGGUAUGAGAAGGGAUAGAAUGAUUAAAAAAAAAAUCAUUGGGUCAUGUUGGGGUGCAGAUUAGUGUAUUUGUUACAUAAGAUAUAGAAAUAGUUUUCUUUCUUCGAAGGGUCAUGAUGAGACGUGUAUUUAGUUAAUUAUAGGAUCAAUAUUUUGUCGCAUCCAAAUCGGGAGGAAACGGGAAUAGGGUUAAAAGUGAUUAGGCCUAUCAUUGGGUAGUUUCGGGUCGGAAUUGAAUAUUUCGGAUCUAGUCCCUCUUAACUAUACUUGUACUAGAUUUGCUCCAAAUACUCGACGGGUCUUGAACUUAUUCUCUAGGAUCUAGAUUCGAUCAGGUUCAGAUACAAGUCAAGUAUGCCCAACAAAAAAAAAAAUAGGCAAAGAAAUGAAAAAAAUGUCUUUCUAAAAAAACAUUAAUUACACACCACAAUCCCAAUUAAAAAUCACAAAUCACUUUAGAUAAUUAUUCUAAGGCCUACAAAUUACAACUCCUAGAAGAUCCAAACAAAUAUUAAAUACUCAAACAUAUGGUCAAAACAAUUACUUAUUCAAACGUGUUCGGUUCGAACCUAGGUCAAAACUCAAUAUUCCAUAACCAACCUAGUUUUAGAUUAGUAUAAACGGGUCUGGAUCAAAUCCGAGUAAAUAGAAUUAUAACUAUAUCCGUAUCCAAAAAUAUUGAGUGGGUUCGAGUUGGUUCCUGAUCAAAACCUGGUCCGUUGACAGUGACUAAAGGUAAUUAAGGGGAGUGUCAGUUGGGAUCAAGGAGAGGGGAGAAGAAAUGAGUGGCAAGGUAUAGCAAACAGGGUGGCCAGUUAGGGUGAGUGACAGGUGCCGAACCUGUGCAAUAAUAAAUACCUACUCGAGAAAAAUACAGAUUUUGUAUAUAGCGGUGAGUAGGGUCGAAUCCACAGGGACUGGGGAUAAUUCGUUUCUUCUAGAGUCCAAAGUAUGGGGGGUUUUGGAUUAAAUGCUAACUAAAUAAAUUAACUGCAGAAAAUAAUUGAUUAAGAGAAAUAAUUAAGGGAAAACUCUAGCCAAGGGUACACAUUAGAAAUGGUUCAUGCACUGAUCAUUGAUGCAGAAAUAAUUCCAACAUUUAGCAAUAGAUUAGUUAUAGUUGUCAUCCACGCGAUAAACAACCAACCCUUCCUUAAUUUCUCGUUAGCUAAGGUACGACCGUUAGCUAUUUCUCUAACCCAAAAAUAACCCUAGGUACGACCGUAGGAUUUAAUUUCUAGAUUGCAUUAAUAAUUAGAAAGGCCCAAUCCUAACCAACAAACACGCUACGAGGGUUUGUUUAAAUUAGAUCAUAUGCUCCCCUGACAUAAAUCCAAUUACGCCAGUUGCUACUGAGGUAGAGAUAACGAACAAUUACGGAUUCAAUUACCCCUAUUUAGCAAAAAUAGCCUAUAUGAAUAAUUAAUUAUUUCGCACUAAUCAAUCAUACACAAGGCCAUAGCAAUUAAAAUCAAGGAACAUAUAAAUACCAAUAAAUGAAGAAAAUAAUUAAAACAGAUUCGAUCUCACAGUAAUUGUCGAACCAAAUCGUCAGUUGUCCCCUUGACUAGAAAAGCUUAACCACGCCUCAUGAGAAAAUCUCCCCGUUGGGGAAUAUUGUCGAAUACCUGGCGUGUGCCAGAGGCCAGUCCAAAGAAAGAAAACUAGAACUAAACUAAAAAACUAAAACUAAAGCCCUAGAUAUCUUUUGCUUCUGUCCGUUGUCCCCUUUUAAAGCAACAAAAGAAAGAUGACUAAAAGCUAUCUAGGUGGUCCCCACACAUAUGGACAAAGCCUCCCAAGUACUUCUUGUUUCAAGUCUCUCUACGUUGCUUUCUUUGAAGCCCAAAUGACCAAAUGUCUUUCACUAGCUUGUGGUCCCCCACCAAUUCAAGGGCCCAAGGAUUGAAACCCUUAGAAGUCUCCAUAUUUUUCACAAAGUCCUUCCUUUUUGGUAGUUUUCUGCUUCAUUCCUGAAAUUGAUUCCAAAUACCAAAUAUGAGUAAAUAUCAGCAAUUAACACAAUAUUUGUCAGGAAUAGAAGGGAAAAUUAAUAAUAAAAAUACUAACAAAUUAUACCCUAUCAAUUCCCCCCACACCUGAAUCAUGCUUGCCCUCAAGCAUAAGAACAGCAAUUGAACACCAAAAUUUUGACAAUGGCUAUUGCUCUAACUAUCAUAUUGCCAAGAUACCCAGAAAAACAUAUAUCAAGCAUCACAGUUAAGAUCCAAGAAAAAUCACUCCGGUUAGCUUCUCAACCACCAACUCCUCCAAUUUAAAGCAAACUAAUCUAAGAAAAAGGAAUGGUUGCUCACAUUUAUCAGCAAAUGGUCCAACUAUUAACCAAAAUCUCGACAUUAAGAUCACAAACCGGCAAGCUGACUUAUUCACAUACUAACACAAUCUUUAUUUUAUUUUAUUUUUUUGUUUUUUUUUGUUUUUUUUUUUUGAGGAACAAAAGACUUAGUCUAUAGCCCUUAGAGCAUUUUGACGCGAACUCCAACAUUUGAUAGAUGAAGGAGCCCGGUUACUCAGCUCCAAUCGCUACAGGACCACGCACUCAUAGCAACUACUACCUUUUGACGCGAGAAUCGACACUUUAGGUGAAGAUCCCCGGUUACUCAGUAGUGAUAACUAGCGGAGUACAGUCACCUUUUAUUUACAAUCAUAUAGCACAAUAACUAAAAAUAACAUAAAAAUAACAGCAGCCAGCCUCAAAUUUCAAACAUGGAGAACUAAAAUUAAUAAUUGGACCAAUUCACAUGAAGAAUGCCAAUAAUCAUUCCCUUUGCCUAGAAAAGUUAACCAAAAAUUGGAAAAGUUAAGCAAUUAUUGAUAUUCACCAAAGAGAUGUUCCUGAACUCAACCACAUCAACUUGAUAUUCUUUUAUUAUUAAAACUUGGCAAUAGCAGAAUUAGAGGCAACAAUCCAGCAUCAAAACUUGGUAGUCAUAUGAAGACUGACCACUAAAAAGAAAGAAAAGGAAAUAAACGAAAAAUAGAACAAAUAACAAAAAUAAAGGAAAACAUGUACAAACUAAAAAUUAGAAAUACUAGCUGUACCACAGCUGUCCCCCCCACACCUAUGUCCGACAUUGCCCUCGAUGGAGGUAAUAUAGCAAUUAAAGCGAAGAGAAAAACGAAACUUCCCUCUCAAGCGGCUACGGGAUAGGCGGGAACGGGGAGUGAAGCAGACAUGGUGGAAGUACGCGGCCAGGUUCUUAGAGAUUGGAGCCAUCUGGUUGGCGAUAUGCAUUACUUGCUCAUCCGCGUGGUGAACCUGAUCUCGGAAGUGGCGCCACUUAGCAUCAGAGGCCAUCGGUGUGAGAGGCCACUUACAAAUUCAAAACAAUAACAAUUUAAUAGCCACUGGUGCCUCCCUCGUAGACAACCCAAUCAACAAAAUGCACAACCUAGGCACCUAGAGACUAUACAAAUAUCCCAACAAUACAGCAAUUUCAAUCAAUACUCACUGGUGGCCCCAAAUCAGUCAGAUGUAGAAACAAAGCAGUCCGAGAUUACCAACACAACCAGUACCAUUGGUGCACAUAAGACGAAUAAAUUAUAAGCCAAACACCACAACCAGUACCACUGGUGCACAUGUAGAAAAGAAGUAAAUCACACGGCCAAACCAAACAAUAAAAUGCACACCUAAGGCCCCCAAAGGCCGUAAAGGUACCCCAAUGAACUAAGUAAUUGAGAUGAACAAGACAAAAUAUUCCCACACAAGACAAUUAGAGGCAACCCACUUCAAUAAGCAAAUGCAAAGUCACAUUCAUAUCCCAAUUCAGCAAACGGACGCAGAAAAAGGACCCACCACACCAGAGCACAGCUCCCAACAAUGCAACAAAACAAUAACUCGAACAACGAAGAGCGGUGCUAGUGGCUAAUCAAAAUAACAAAUUCAGCAAUUGGACACAACUCCACCCAAAAUCUCAACAACUGUCUCCAAUUGGACAGUCAAUUACACAGUUCAACCUACUAAAAAUAGCAAAUGACCCAAGAGAGUGGGAAUUCCAGCAAUCAUAGUGCAGAAUUCGGGCAACACUUUAAGCACGAGAGCCCAGUAGUCAAUUAGGCAGUCAAGCACUUAAGAUUAAGAAAUUUGAGGCAAACUACUGCUAUCAGUACCACUGGUAAAUGCUCAAGGAGAAAGUAAAUCAAAUGGCCAACCCAAAUUCAAUCCACACAGAUGAAAAAUAGAGGCCUCAAGCAGGUAAAACCAAAUCAAUAUUCAACAAUGUAAUCAUUAUCAGAAAAUACGCCCAAAUGGAGCAGUAAAGAAACGUAAUUCCACCCUAAAAUUAACCCCAGAAAAUGUUCAAAUCACCUCCUGCGUUAUCCAUCAAGAAACCCACAAAGAGGCACAAAACCCAGCACCUGAAGAUUCAGGAAAAAUGCCAAAACAAGGGUAGAAAGUUAAUACCUCCACCUGUCAAAAUUGACAGGUGGUGACGCGCGGCAAGGGGAAAACAGAGAGACGGGCGGCGCACGGCGUUGUCUGGUGGCGUGGCGGACGGCGGCGGCGGCGGACGAACGACGUGGGCUGAGCGAGAGGUGGAGCGCGAGGGUGAGUAAGGGAGAAAAGAGGGCGGCGCUGGUUGUCCGUGGGCUACGUGCGGUGUGCGGAGCAGAGGAGGAUGUUGCUGAUGGUGUUGCGAGUGGGUAGGAGGAGCUGUGCGCAGGUGAAGAUUCGGCCGUGGGCUGUGGGUGAAGCGGAGGAAACUCCUGGCGGCGGGUUGGUGGUAGCGGCAGGCGGCGGGCGCGCGCCGUGGGCUGCUGGUGGAGCGCGAGCUCAGGCGGAGCUGUGCACUCGGCUGUUGGCUGCGCGCGCGAUGGGAGGAGAGGGGCGCGGCGCUCGGCUGGUGGAGGUGGAGGUCCGUGGUGGAGGUAGAAGCUGCGAUUAGCUGGUGGAGGUGCACCAGCGAGGUGGGUGGCGGACGAUGGAGGGCAGCCGAAAGAAGAAAUAAAAGAAAAGGGAAACAGGGCAGCGGGGAAGAAAGAAAGAAAGAAAGAAGAAGAAAGAAAGAAAAAGAAAAAGAGAAAGAAAGAAAAAAAAAUAGUUUUUGGAUUUUUUUUUUUCAAUGUUUUUUUUCCAAAUUUUUUCCCGAAUUUAAAUUUUCCAAAUUUGAAUUUUUGAAGAAAAGGAAAGAAAAAAAAAUGCUUUUUGAAUUUUUGAAUUUUCUCAAUGUGAAAUUUUAACUCUUUUUUUUUUUUUUCAAGGAACCUCUGGCUUAGGCGUGGGCACGUCUAACUGCUAUAGAGUCCGCAGAUCCUGAACGAAAAUUUCUUUCCCUCAGGCGUGACCACCUGGCGUGGGCACGUCUAACUGCCACUUUCCUGCCACCAAGCAACAAAUCACUAAAUGCAACUAACACUUAACAAAAACUCCAAAAACAUAAGAAAAUUAAAACAAAAGCCUUGGGUUGCCUCCCAAGCAGCGCCUUUCUUUAAUGUCUUUGGCUAGACAUUGUCCUGUUUAUUCAUGGAGGAUAAAAUCGCGUAGCUCGCUUCAGUGCUUCAUCUUCUAUGUGAUCCUGAUAGCCCUCGUAAAUAGAGUAAUUCUUGAGCACACGAGCUACGGUCUUCCAUGGACCAGUAGAUUGCGCCAAACAACCAAGUAAUGACCUUAAAUCUUCAUUCACUCCUCCAUCACAAGCACCUACUGGUUUGAGAUAUUUUGCCAUCGUGACUCUUAACUUGUUCCUGUCAUGAAACUCAAAAUUUUCUGGUAUAAUAAAAUCAAUCUCACUAACAGAAAUUAAAGAAUAAGAGUCAGGAAAAUAUUGAUCAAGAAAUGGAGGAGAUGUCACCGCAUUUGGAGAUUGUUCAUUGGAUUCAUUCACUUGAACCAUUUGAUGUUGGGGUCUCAAUUCUUGCGCUUCAACUUUCUUUUCAACUGCAUCUUUAGAUUCUUUUUCUUGAGACCCUUGCAAUACCAUGUCCUUUGUCAGAAUAAUUGCACUCUCAUCUUCCUCAUGGUCGAUAAUAGUCGGUGAGGGCAAUUCUUCAUAAACUGGAGAAAUCAAUUUGCUCAUUUUAGAUGCCCAUUCACACCUUCUUUCUUUCAUCUCUUCACUCAUCUUUUGUGUCUCCUGUUGAAGUUGAUGUACCUCCUGUUGAAUUUGAUAUGUGUUAGUAGCUAUUAAUUCAACCAUUUCUUCAAGAGACAUACCUGACAUGGAUGACGGUUCUUGAGACUCUAGCUGUUGAAAAUCUAGUGGCCCUGUUGUAUAAUUAUAACUGGAGUUAUCCCACCAUCCUUGAUCAUACCCGUUUGGAUUAGGGUUAUACCACGUUUGAGACCAUGGUGAAAAAUCUCCAUAAUUAUUGAGUGGGACACUUAGAUUAUCUUGAUAUUCGGGGCACAUACCGGUCGAAUGAUCCCUGGCAUAACAAAUUUUACAGGUUGCAGCAGCCAUUUUUUCCCUAAUAGAGUUUACUGCCUCUGAAUAUGCAAACUUAGCAAAAAAAACUAGUCUCAUCGCCUUCCCCGGAAACAAAAUCCAGUCUAUCACCAAAAUACGGAGUGUUAGAAGCCAUAAACUAUAAUAAAAAAAUAAGAGAAAAAUAAAUAAACAAUAAAAAAAAUAAAAACAAGAUGAACUCAAAAAGAAACAAAUUAAUCUGGCACCAGUCCCCGGCAACGGCGCCAAAAAUUGACAGGUGCCGAACCUGUGCAAUAAUAAAUACCUACUCGAGAAAAAUACAGAUUUUGUAUAUAGCGGUGAGUAGGGUCGAAUCCACAGGGACAAGGGAUAAUUCGUUUCUUCUAGAGUCCAAAGUAUGAGGGGUUUUGGAUUAAAUGCUAACUAAAUAAAUUAACUGCAGAAAAUAAUUGAUUAAGAGAAAUAAUUAAGGGAAAACUCUAGCCAAGGGUACACAUCAGAAAUGGUUCAUGCACUGAUCAUUGAUGCAGAAAUAAUUCCAACAUUUAGCAAUAGAUUAGUUAUAGUUGUCAUGCACGCGAUAAACAACCAACCCUUCCUUAAUUUCUCGUUAGCUAAGGUACGACCGUUAGCUAUUUCUCUAACCCAAAAAUAACCCUAGGUACGACCGUAGGAUUUAAUUUCUAGAUUGCAUUAAUAAUUAGAAAGGCCCAAUCCUAACCAACAAACACGCUACGAGAGUUUGUUUAAAUUAGAUCAUAUGCUCCCCUGACAUAAAUCCAAUUACGCCAGUUGCUACUGAGGUAGAGAUAACGAACAAUUACGGAUUCAAUUACCCAUAUUUAGCAAAAAUAGCCUAUAUGAAUAAUUAAUUAUUUCGCACUAAUCAAUCAUACACAAGGCCAUAGCAAUUAAAAUCAAGGAACAUAUAAAUACCAAUAAAUGAAGAAAAUAAUUAAAACAGAUUCGAUCUCACAGUAAUUGUCGAACCAAAUCGUCAGUUGUCCCCUUGACUAGAAAAGCUUAACCACGCCUCAUGAGAAAAUCUCCCCGUUGGGGAAUAUUGUCGAAUACCUGGCGUGUGCCAGAGGCCAGUCCAAAGAAAGAAAACUAGAACUAAACUAAAAAACUAAAACUAAAGCCCUAGAUAUCUUUUGCUUCUGUCCGUUGUCCCCUUUUAAAGCAACAAAAGAAAGAUGACUAAAAGCUAUCUAGGUGGUCCCCACACAUAUGGACAAAGCCUCCCAAGUACUUCUUGUUUCAAGUCUCUCUACGUUGCUUUCUUUGAAGCCCAAAUGACCAAAUGUUUUUCACUAGCUUGUGGUCCCCCACCAAUUCAAGGGCCCAAGGAUUGAAACCCUUAGAAGUCUCCAUAUUUUUCACAAAGUCCCUCCUUUUUUGUAGUUUUCUGCUUCAUUCCUGAAAUUGAUUCCAAAUACCAAAUAUGAGUAAAUAUCAGCAAUUAACACAAUAUUUGUCAGGGAUAAAAGGGAAAAUUAAUAAUAAAAAUACUAACAAAUUAUACCCUAUCAGUGAGGAGGGGAGGGGUUGCUGCUAGCUUGAUGUUGGUGGAAGAAAGGGAAACGUGAUUUGAACUCUAGGCAGGGUCAUGGAGGGGAAAGGAAAGAAAGUGGCGGCAGGCAAUGGUUGGCCGGAAUGGCGAGGAACAGGAAGGGUGUCAAUGCUUAACAACUACUCAAAAAACUGAAAAAACACUCCAAAAAAAAAAUAUAAAGUUAUUUUUAGCUAAUAAAGCCUAUGGUAAAAUAUUUUAGAAACACUUAAUCCAAGCACAGCCUGAAAUUUUACAAUUCUCUACUGCACCCCUUAAUUUUCUCGAGUUUUGUUCAUUUUCUACAUUGCGCCUUAGAGAACUAAAUCCCUUUUUCCUUUUAACUAAAUCUUUUACCUUUAAUCUGUUAAAAAUUUAUAACGUCACUACAUCAAUAAGUAAAAUCUGAAUAAACUUUAACUUUAGUGAACUAAAAAUUGUUCGACCCGAUCAAGUAACCAUGUUGAUUAGAGAAAAAGUGCUUUAGCUCGUUUAAACAAUUCGGCUAGUCAAAAUUUUAUUUUUACACUCUGCCAUCACCUAGUUAUGCCCAUUAAGUGUUUGAAACUCCAACCAUUUGGACGUAUUUGACAUGGACAAGUAUUAUUGCAUGGAUCAAGGAACGGGUGACUACAGCAGAAUAGAGUAUAAAUACUAAUAUAAUACUAAUGUAAACAGUAAUAUGGUAAAUGUAGACACUAAUACAAUAAGAUUAAAAAUUACAACAAAUUUUUGGACUCAAAUUUUAAUGAGACAGAAAAUUUAUUGUGCUUUUACCUAUUUUUGUAUUAAUAUUUACAUCUAUUAUUUAAUGUCUACAUUUAUUUUUAGAGUAACUUUUAUAUAUUGUCAGUAUAUAUAUUAUUACAGUUGGAUGGAUGACACAGGAACAAAUUUUGCACAUAUGUCAUAUACUUAAGGGUGAUAGUGUAUAUACUAACCGUGUAUGUAAGAUUAAUCCCUAUUUUAUAGUGUCUACAUUGCACUCUACUGCCAUUACUAAUUUUUAUUGUGUCUACAUUCAUUUUUGUACUGGAUAUGACAAUAUAAACCACUAAUCCUUAUUGCAUGAUACAAUAAUUAAUGGUUUCUAUCAUCAUGGUUUACUAAGAACAAAAAAGAACUACACUAAUUAAAUAAAAGUAGGGCGGAUUCACUAUGAAAAGUUCAUAAUUUCCGUUUACUUCCCACAUGUAAAUAAAAUUUACUCUUUUGUAACGACGGUGACAUCGAACCACUUCUUAUGACAAAGAUCCUCUGUCACAGGGGAACAUAAUAUAGCAACCUAUGGACUAUUCUUAAGAUGAAAACGACUGGCAUGUAGUAAUAUAGUCCAAAGAUUACUAUUAGUUGAAACUUUUCAAGGUAAUUAACUAUUCCACAGUCUUUGACGAUCGACUUAAGAACUAAAUAUCUAUUUUUGACACCCAUGGAGAAAAAGAAACUUCUGUGCUAAUCAUCUAGCUAAAAUGAGUCUCAACGUGCCAAAUAAGUCUUCCAAAGUUCACGGGAACCACUAGAAUCUCUUAAAGGAUUAAUUUUUUAUGUACUGACAGUGUAGUAAAUUUUUUAUACUAACAGUUUUAGAUAUAUGUUAUAUGCACAUAAUUUAGAUUUCAAAUUUGAAUUCAUAUAUGUAACGGAAUCUAAAUAUGUUAGUGUAAAAAACAAAAUUAUACACUGACAGUAUAUAAAAAAGUUAUCCUCUCUCAAAUCUCUUCUUGUUUUAGAUGUUGUUUGUGUUGCGAUACCUGGUUUCGUUCCAAUGUAACAAGUCAGUCCAUUGGAUCCAAAAAAGCAAAAGAGAAAGAGGAAAUAACAUCUAUAUCUGAAAAUAGCAAGCCAACAAUCAUAUGGAAAUAGUAUGAGUUAUAAAAUAUAUAUUAGCCUGUAAAAUAAGAAGAUGUGUGAGGAUCCCUAAGGUCCCUAUAAGCAAAGCAUAUUAUUUCGAUUGCGUAAUCACAAACACAAUUUCUAAUCAACUUUUUAUAUUUUCAAUCACAUUUUUAUCUCAUAUAGAUCACAUUCCAAAAAGUAUUACAGUAUUUAUUCUAAAUAAUAUUUGAAGUAAUUUCCUAUCCAAACACACUCAAUUAAUUCUUUGAAAAAUUUUGAGAAAAAAAUUGCUGCUUUUGACUCCCAUGAAUUAUUCUUCGAAAUAAUUAAUAUAGUUAAGACUGGGACAGCUUUCCAUAUUAAAUGGGUUCAAAAGUAACUAGUAUAUCUUUUCUUUGAAUAAAUUGUAAACUCAGAUUUGCCCAAUGUAUGGCAAAUACAGGUCAAGAGAAAAAGUUGAUAUGAAUAUGCAGAGACAUCGUACUCCGCAGCUAAGGUUGUCACCAACAAAGGAUUCUUGCACUUCUUGAUGCCUUUGACGUCCCAAGAAUUAAAUAGAGUGAUAAUUGGGAAAAAUUUUAUCUUCUUCAAAAGCAACUUUAUCUAAUCUUUUUGAUGUGCAAAAAGCAGCAUUCAUUUUGCUUGCAGCAAAAUGUAUCUAUGAACGAUUUGCUUAAGAUCUCACAACAUUAAAUUGAAUUCGCAUUCUUUUUUUAGUCACACCCUAAAGUUCACUUUGCCACUAGAUAAUUCCGGAAUAGGUCCUGAAAGGAGUCUGCAAUGUUAUUAUUAAGAUUUAAUCUCAAUAUGAGGCUCAUAAACACCUUAUUCAGAAAGAAAAGUAUCUAAGCAUACGUUACAUUCAAAAGUAACUUUUCUUUGAUAAUACAUUUAGAUGCAAUAUUAGCAUUAUAAAAAUUCGAAAAAUGUUAUUUGUACUCCAUAGUUUGUUAUUUGCAGUCUCAUUCUUUAUUUUAUCAUAUAAAUUAAUAUAUGAAAAAUAUAUAAUUAAAAUGGUAGUGAAAGUAUGAUUAACAAAAAUAGAAGUGCAAAUAACGUUUUCCUAGAAAUUGUUCGUAAGGAAACUCUUAUUAUACAUAUCAAUUGUCUAUACGUUCCACUUGCUUCUUAAAUCAUGGUUAAGAACUCUUAUUACCCACGUCAAAACCAUAGUUCUAUUGUUACAUAUUCCAUUCCUCUUUCUGGGCUCUUCUUUCCAUUUCCUCCUCAAGUUUGGAAAGAAAACAAAGAGUAGUAGUGUGAGAUUUUUCUUUAUAUUACAAGAUUGUGCUGCCAUUUUCCAGUGGACUUUCAUAGUUCAAUCUGCAUCGAAUAAUUAAAUCUUGUAUAGAUACGGAAGAAAAUGGCAUUGCAUUGCUUUAGUUGUAGUAAUGAUAUUACAAUUAAUCACGAGAACAUAUUCAUUUUACUGGUAUACUUUUUGCAGCUUAAGCAGAAAACAAAGAAAAGAAAAAAGGACAAAAAAGUAGCUCUCAUUUAAGUUUUGACAGCAGAAUGUGGGUUGAAACUUUGAAUCUGCAUGGCUGGGUUUAUAAGCAGCAGCAUCUCUACUGUCCACCACCUUCUCCACCGCUGCCGGAACCACUACCAACACCAACGCCCUUGCCAGCACCAGCACCAGCCCCUACGCCAAUGCCUACUCCAACCCCAACACCAAUUCCACCUCCAUGGCCACCUCCUAAACCACCACCUCCAGCUCCACCUCCUACACCUCCACCAGCUCCAAAACCACCACCAUGGCCUGAUCCUCCCCCUCUUCCUCCACCACCACCACCUCCAAAUCCUCCACCUGCCCCACCUCCAACACCUCCUCCUGCACCGAAUCCACCACCGUGGCCAGAACCACCUCCAAUGCCGCCACCGCCUCCACCUCCACCUGCUCCUCCUCCAAUGCCACCCCCUACUCCACCUCCUGCUCCAAACCCUCCUCCAUGCCCAGAGCCACCACCAAUGCCACCUCCUCCACCGCCACCACCUCCUCCUCCAGCACCUCCACCAAGUCCUCCAGCACCACCACCUACACCUCCACCAGCUCCAAACCCACCUCCAUGACCUGAACCACCUCCAAGGCCACCGCCUCCACCACUACCCCCUCCUCCUCCUCCACCAGCACCACCACCAAGUCCUCCACCACCACCUACACCACCUCCAGCUCCAAAUCCACCACCAUGACCUGAACCGCCUCCAACACCACCACCUCCACCUCCUCCAAACCCUCCUCCUCCACCUACACCACCUCCUGCACCUCCACCAACACCACCUCCUGCUCCAAACCCUCCACCUUUACCUGCACCACCCCCAACUCCUCCACCACCUCCACCACCAAAACCGCCACCUCCACCUACUCCACCUCCACCACCAAGACCUCCUCCAGCUCCUCCACCAAAACCUCCACCACCUCCACGUCCACCUCCAAAUCCAGGACCUCUUCCUCCUGGUCUUCCAAAUCCACCACGUCCACCACCAAAACAACCUCUCCUUCCAAAUCCACAAUCAUUAUCUCCCCACGUCUCUUUUUCUAUCUUGCUAUCUCCAAAAGCAACUACAUUCAAUUCUAACACCACACUCAAGAUAAGAAGAAGCACGCAAAACCAUUUUUGAGAAGAACCCAUAAUGCUUACAAGAAUUCAAA
This 50663-nucleotide long non-coding RNA is filed under the name Coffea arabica (coffee). RNAcentral's name for it is "long non-coding RNA (CARA_LNC003501)". Lineage: Eukaryota; Viridiplantae; Streptophyta; Magnoliopsida; Gentianales; Rubiaceae. The record is from RNAcentral.